This 85290-nucleotide long non-coding RNA is filed under the name Vitis vinifera (wine grape). RNAcentral describes it as "long non-coding RNA (VVIN_LNC005528)". Lineage: Eukaryota; Viridiplantae; Streptophyta; Magnoliopsida; Vitales; Vitaceae. The record is from RNAcentral.
UUUGAAAGAGUCAUCACUGACGUCUCCUCUGCAGUAUUUAACAAUGAAGAGACUGAUCCUGAAACAAUAAAACCUCUCAGAACCACUCUCCCUCUCAGUCUAAGCAAUGGAGAGUGUUGUCUUGUAUCCAUCACCAGGGAUGGGUCACCUCAUCUCAAUGGUGGAGCUUGGAAAGCUUAUACUGAAACACCAUCCUUCAUUCUCCAUCACCAUAUUCAUUGUCACUCCACCUUACAACACUGGCUCUACUGCUCCUUAUCUCGCCCGCGUCUCCUCCACCAUUCCUUCCAUCACUUUCCACCACCUCCCCACCAUUUCUCUCCCUCUCGAUUCUUUCUCCUCUCCCAACCAUGAAACCCUUGCUUUCGAGCUCCUCCGCCUCAACAACCCUAACAUCCACCAGGCCCUUGUGUCCAUCUCCAACAAUUCCUCCGUCCGUGCCCUUAUCGUUGAUUGCUUCUGUACAGCGGCGCUUUCUGUGGCUGCUCAACUCAACAUUCCAUUCUACUAUUUCUUCACUUCUGGCGCCUGCUGCCUCGCUUCCUUCCUUUACCUCCCUUUCAUUCACCAGCAGACUACCAAAAGCUUUAAAGACCUCAACACCCAUCUCCAUAUUCCGGGUUUACCGCCGGUACCGGCCUCUGACAUGGCGAAGCCGAUACUUGACAGGGAGGAUAAGGCUUAUGAGUUAUUCGUAAACAUGUCCAUACACUUGCCAAGAUCAGCUGGAAUCAUUGUGAACACCUUUGAAGCGCUGGAACCAAGAGCUGUCAAAACGAUUUUGGAUGGGCUCUGCGUCCUUGACGGUCCAACCUCACCAAUAUUCUGCAUAGGACCAUUAAUUGCAGCUGAUGAUCGAUCCGGUGGUGGUGGUGGUGGAGGGGGAGGUAGCGGCAUUCCUGAGUGUUUGACAUGGCUCGAAUCUCAACCAAAACGCAGCGUUUUGUUUUUGUGUUUUGGGAGCUUGGGUUUGUUCUCAGAAGAACAGUUGAAGGAGAUAGCGGUUGGGUUAGAGAGGAGUGGGCAGAGGUUCUUGUGGGUAGUGCGGAGCCCACCCUCCAAGGACCCGAGCAGGCGUUUUUUAGCACCACCGGAACCGGAUUUGAAUUCCCUUCUCCCAGAUGGGUUUUUGGAUCGAACCAAGGAGAGGGGCCUAAUGGUGAAGUCGUGGGCUCCUCAGGUGGCCGUCUUGAAUCACGCCUCUGUUGGAGGGUUUGUGACUCACUGUGGGUGGAACUCAGUGCUUGAAGCAGUGUGUGCAGGCGUGCCAAUGGUGGCAUGGCCACUAUAUGCCGAGCAAAGGUUUAACAGGGUGGUGCUGGUGGAGGAAAUGAAGCUAGCCUUUCCAAUGGAAGAGUCGGAAGAAGGGUUUGUUACUGCAACUGAGGUUGAGAAGCGAGUUAGAGAGUUGAUGGAGUCGGAGGAAGGAAACACCCUUCGUCUCCGGAUCAUGGCCAUGAAAGAAGCUGCUGAGACUGCAAUGAGCGACGGUGGAUCAUCCCGCACCGCAUUAACAAAACUGGUCAAGUCAUGGAGGCCAGGAUGAGAGAAAGAGAAGGCUGUUCGUCUUAGCUUUCAAUUUCUUCCAAAUCCCGAUUAUUCGGUACCACUUCAACCUAGCAAUUGUUUCAUUAGCAAAAUUUUGCAUUUCUUUUAGCAGUUCAAUUUUAUUGUGUUCUUGGGUAUUAAGUUUGUUAACCUAAUAGAAAAUAAAUAAAUAAAAAAAGACAAAUGAUUAAUAUCCCAUGAAGUGCACCAACAUUAAUAAUCUAAUAAUCAAAAUGAAUGAAAGGAAUUAUAGUGGUGAAGUUCUAAUAAAAAAACUCUUUCAAUUGAGGCUGCAUUUUAUAAAAAUAAAAAAUAAAACUUUAAACAUAAAAGGAUUAUAUAUAAUAGGGUAAAUUCAUCAAUUAUCACAUAAAAAAAUUAAAAAAAAAAAAUUGAAAAAGUGCUACCCCUUCCACCUUUACAAAUUGACCGGACAACUCAAUUCAUAUAAGCUUAUGGGGAACUCAACCCUUGCGAGCUGGUCGAACAACUUGAUCCUUGCGAGCUAUCCGAGCAGCUUGAUCCUUGGCAUUUGAACAAAAUACGAUAAUAUUGAUUCAAACUUCAUAAUCUAACAAGGUUUAAUUCCUUUCUUAACUAUUUCAUUUUUAUCACAAAUUUGGAUGAAUUUAAUUAUUCAAUACAAACACCUUUGGACCAUUUCUUGCAGUUUUCAAUGAUAAUCCAUAAAAACUUAGAUAUCAUGCUUGUAAAGUCAUGAACACGGAAGCAAAAAUAUCAUCUAUUAUUAGCAGAUAAAGUCCUAGGAGGGCCACACAUUCUUGAAAUCCAUACGUUUUUCCAAUGGAUACACCCUUCAGUGUACAGAUUUUUUUUUUGCAUGCGUGAAUAAAUGACAAUCCCGUUGUCACUUUGUUUUGAUCUAACAAUUUCAAAAUAUAUAUAUGUUCCUUUCUUUUACAUGUCAUUUUCCUUCUACCUUCUAAAAGUUGUCUUCUAGAGUCUCACUUAAAGUUGUUUUGGACUCUAUCGUGUGAUUGUUACAGCCAAUAUCUAGACAUUGAACAUCUUGUGAUUGAUUCUUCUCAAGUAUUCAUAUAAUAAAUACAAUUAGAAAUAUUAAUUCCCCCCUUUUCCAAUGUUGGGAUGGUACUCAUCUUUCACACCAUUAUUAGAACUGUCCCACCUUGAAGGUUUAUUAAAAAUAAAGCUUCCUAUUUGUGAUUAUCUUUAUUGAAAAUAUUAGAGUGACACCCCUAACCCAAGUAAUUAAGGCUAAGGGGACAAUGGUCAUUUCAUAGAUGGGCCCAAAGGUCUAACAUGUGAAUAAUGUCAGAAAUGUGAUAUAGUCAUUCAUUAAUGUUGGCCGGUUGCUUGUAACAUAUCAAAAUAGUAAUCAAAGAUUAUUAAAUCAACUUUGAAAAUGAAACAAAGUCCCACAUGCACGAGUAUUUAAAACAUUUUUCAAUUAGAUUUAAUUGAAAUAAAGUAAACUAACUAGCUAGUGGUAAAUAAUGGAGCAAAUUUUUUUUUUUGGUUUUUGCCUAUGAUGAGACGAGUUUGGAAGAAGUAUAAGUAGGUUAAGGAUGUGUUUGAGAUUUUUUUGAAACUUAAGACGGGUUGGACUAUUGCUUUGUCCCUCGCCACCAUAUCCCGAUUAUAUAUAGUUAUAAAAAUAAUUUAAUUUAAUUUAUUUUUUCAUUUUCCCCUUUUGUAACACAUAAAAUUUGCCAUAUUUUUUUGUUAAAAUUAAAAAAAAAAUUAUUUAUAAUUUUUUUUUAUAUAAUUAAAGUUUUUCAAAAAAUUAAAUUUUAAAAAUAAUAUAUAUAUAUAUAUAUAUAUAUAUAUGUGGUUUGAAAUUUCAUUGACUAUUUCCCUUAUUCCGAAUAAGAAAAAAGUGACUAAAAUUAAUAAAUGAAAAUAAUAUAAAAGAUAUUUAAUGAAAUUUCAAAUUUAUAAGAAUUACAUAUAUUUAAUCAAAAUUUCAAAGGAGAUGAAUAAAAUUAACUCAAUUAGAAAUCAAUUACUUAUAUCUAUUUACUUUAUUAUCUAAUUCAUUAAUCACCACUUAUGAAUAUAAUCAUCACUUAUAAUUACCAAAAUAUUAUGGUACUUAACUUCAUACCAAGGCCCAACAAAGUAAGGGGAACAUAAGUACCUAUAAUCCCUUAUGAAUUUCUAAUAGUAUAUAUUCUAGAGGUCCAAAAUUCCAACCAAAUUUAAUAGCAUUCAAUUUCCAUCUUAGAUUUUGGCAAGGCUUACAUCAAGAUUAAAACCAACAUCCAAUAUUUUUGAAUCAUGCAUUUUUUUAAAAAGAUUUAAGGCGUAUUUUUUAUCAUAAUUUUAGAAAGUAUUUCUAACAUUUUUAAUACUUAAAAAAUAAAAUUUUAUUUUCUAAAAUCACUAUCAAAUACACUUUUAAUUUAUGUUAUCACACAUAUCUCGGGUUAGGAUAGUAAUAAGCCCUGAUUUCAAAUUACCUCUUCGAGGGGCAUGGUUAUUUUUCAUUUUUCCAACUUUACCAUAUGACCAUACUAGUGUUUGAACCUCCUCUUCCACCAAAAAUUUAUUAGGGUAGUUGCCUUGUUCCUAUCGCUGCUUUAUAUUUUCGUCCUUUUAUGAUAGGUUUAACCUCCUCAAAAGUUUGUUCAAUCAUUUUCACAUGCUUCAAGCUAUCAAGCACUUGCGUUUUGUAUGGCAGCAGAAACAUGUUCACGUUUUGCAGGCAAAGUUCUUAAAACUUGCUUAUCAACAGUUUCUCUUCUUGAAUUGUGUGUCCACAACUUCAUAUUAACAAAAUCUCCAUAAAUUUUGAAGUUCUAUUGAAAUUAUUUUAUCACUUCUCAUGGGAUUCUUAAUUUUUAUAAUACUUGCUAUGCAACUUUAGCUUUCUAAUCCCCAAAAAAUUCUAGGAAGACUAACUUAAUUUGCUUAGCCUGUUGAAUAUAUAUACAAGUAUAAAGAGACAUAACAAGAGCAACUUUGCUUAUGCUUUGUUAAACAUAUAAUAAGCGUAAUAAAGAGAGACAAGAUUUUCUUGAGCAAGAAUCACAAGGCUUGCAAUGAAGAAGUCCAUCUUUUGACACUUGGUUUUCACAAGAUACCAAUGGGCCUUUGGUGUACACUUAAGGUGUCUCUCAACGACUCACGAUUACUUACUACUUACAGUUGGCCUAUAAUAAAUAUAUUUUCGAAAAGAGUAGAUAUAGAUUUAAUGAACAUUAGAUGAUAUUAAAAACUUGUGGAAUAAUAUUUCCAUGUGAUUAUCAAGUGUUAGGUACAUGAUAAAUAAGUUUUAAGAAGCCUGUUUUGGCAUUAAUCUUAUUAAUUUAAGAACUUAUUUGACAGUAAUUUUAAAAAAUAUUUUUUAACAUUUUUAACAAUUAAAUUUUUUUAAUAAUUCAAGUAUUAGAAAUGCUAAAAAUUAUUUUCUAAAUUUACUAUCAAAUGUGCUCUACAUUUGUUAUUAUGAUUAAGUACUAGUGGUUGUAAGUACAUAGUUAACUAUCCAUAUGUUAGUCCGAUCUACACUAAUUAAAGAGAAUCUAUAUGUUUUUUGAUUUGAAAGUUUAAAAUAAAAUAGAAAAUAAGAAUAAUUUAAUUAAAUUUUUAUUCACUUUCAAGAAAAAAAAAUAGUAUUUAUAUAUGUGAUUAAAAGGUAAUACUCUAAUAUUACUUUUGACUUAAAAAUGUAUUAAAUAAAAAAUAUUUUUAAUCGAAUGAUAUGAAUCGAGAUAUAGAAAAAUGAGUUCUCAUUCUACUUAUAUUUCUAAAUAAGACCAUGAAAACAUAUUUUUUCUAUCUUAAAUAGAAAAUAAGCGAAUUAUAAUUUUAAUAAACCAAUCUUUCUUUUAGGGUUCUAGGAUAUUUUGACGUAUGAUUAGGGAGAUAUUUUGUGUUUAAAUUAGGGGAGUUUAAACCAUGUUUUUAAAGUAAGGUUUUACUUUAAAAACAAAACAAAAAUCCCCCCCAAAAAAAAAUCAUGUUUGUCCAUCAAACAUUAUAUAUGAUUUUUAAUUUUUCUUUAAAAAACAUCUUUUAAAUUAUAAAUACUAUUAAAAAGACUCUAAAUUACGUGAGAUAUAGGCCAUUUGAAAGCGACAAGAAAAAAAAAACAAAAAACAAAAAACAAAAACCAAAUAAUAAUAAUGUUUGUCCAUAAAACAUUAUAUACGAUUUUUCGCCUUUUUAAGAAUAUUCUCUACAUUUUAUCAAAUGUUUAUUUAAUUUUUUUUAUAAAAAAUAUCUUUUAAAGUAGAUUUUCUUUUUUUUUUUAAAAAAAAAAAAACUAUUAAAAAGACUUUAAGUUGCAUCAGACGUUUAAAAUGAAGUUAGGUUGUUUGAAAGAGAAAAAUAAAACAAAAAAUCAAAAAGCAAAAGACAAAAAAUAAUAAUAAUAAUAAUGUUUGCCCAUAAAACAUUAUCUAUGAUUUUUCGAUUUUUUAAGAAUGUUCUUUACAUUUUAUCAAAUGUCUAAUUUUUAUUUUUUUAAAUUAGAAAUACUUUUAAAAAAAACACAGUUAAAAAUCUUCUAAAUUGUGUUAGACAUUUGAAACAAAGGCAGACAGUUUGAAAAAGACAAAGAAACAAAACAAAAACCGUGUUUGUGCAUAAAACAUUAUAUAUAAUUUUUCAAUUUUUUUAGAAUGUUCUCUACAUUUUAUCAAAUGUUUUUUUUUAAACAUCUUUUAAAUUAGAAAUACUUUAAAAAAAAAAAUACUAUUAAGAAGACUUUAAGUUGCUUUAGAAAUUUAAAAUGAAGAUAGGUUGUUUGAAAGAGAGAAAAAAAACAAAACAAAACAAAAAGCAAUAAUAAUAAUAAUAAUAAUAAUAAUAAUAAUGUUUGCCCAUAAAACAAUAUAUAUGAUUUUUCAAAUUUUUAAGAAUGUUUUCUACAUUUCGUCAAAUGUCUAAUUUUUUUUUUAUAAAAAAAACGUAUUUUAAAUUACAAAUACUUUAAAAAAAAUACUAUUAAAAAGAGUUUAAAUUGUGUUAGACAUUUGGAACAAAGGCACACCGGUUGAAAGAGACAACAAAACAAAACAUAAGACUAUGUUUGGUUCCCGGAAAGUACAAAGGAAAGAAAAAAAAUGCUAAGGAAAAUGAUUUUCUCAUGUUUGGUUGUCCUAUGAAAAAUAUCAAAGAAAAUCAAAUAUAAUUAAAACUAAUUAAAAACUUAUAUAUUUUUAAAUUAUUUAAUCUUUAUAUUGAUGAGUUAAAAUAAAUAAAAUGAGUUUGAAGUAACAAAAAAAAUAAUUUAUCAACUUUUAAUAUAUUUUUUUUAUUUUUCUUCACUUUUUCUUUCCUUCUACUUUUCCUUUGUAUUUUCUUUCCCUCGUAUUUUCCCUCAAAUUUUCCGGGAACCAAACAUAGCCUAAAGAAAACAAAAAUGAUGUUUGUCCAUAAAACAUUAUAUAUGAUUUUAAAAUCUUUUAAAAAUGUUCUCAACGUUUUAUCAAAUGUGUAUUUUCUUUUUUAAAAAACAUCUUUUAAAUUAGAAAUGCAUUUAAAAAAAAAAACUAUUAAAAAGACUUUAAGUUGCAUUGUACAUUUGAAAUGAAGGUAGGUUGUUUGAAAGAGAAAAAAACCAAGAAAGAAAAAAAAACCAAAAGAAAAAACAAAAAGCAAAAAAUAAAAAAAAAUAAAAUGUGUUUGUACAUAAAACAUUAUAUAUUAUUUUUCAAUUUUUAAGAAUGUUUUCUACAUUUGAUAAAAUGUCAACUUUUUUUUAAAUAUGUUUUAAAUUAUAAAUACUUUUAAAAAAAAUUAUUAAAAAGGCCCUAAGAAUGUGUUUAAAUAAUGUUUUUUGUGAAGUGUUUUUAAUAAAAAUAUAUUUUUUCAAGAACCAUUAUAAAUGGUUUUCCAACUUGUAAAAAGUGUUUUCUAAAUAUUUCAACUAAAACAUUUUUUUAAAACAUAGAAAAACGACCUCUCAAAAUUCCUUCGUAAUUAUUGGAAGAAGCCUAUAGGAUCCGAAAUUGUCCAUGUCGUCCUCCAUUUUGCUUGGGUUGCACAUGGUUUGCUCUGCAUCUUUUCUUAUGCAUUCCAAGCAUCCAUCGAUUGACCAUUAGAUGGGAAAUAAUUGAAGUCUAAAACUACCCGUCUUCCUUUUCCACCAUCCUCUCUCAAACCUGUCCUACCAUUCUCUUUCACAGUGGUGCUAACAGUUGAAAUCUCAACCUUAAAUCAUUAUAUAUUUUUUGAUGAUUGACUUCUCCCCCUUGUCCUUUUGCUUUCUGCACUAUUUAACAAUGAAGAGACUGAUCCUUAAACAGUUAAACCUCUCUCCCUCUCAGUCUAAGCAAUGGAGAGUGUUGUCUUGUAUCCAUCACCAGGGAUGGGUCACCUCAUCUCAAUGGUGGAGCUUGGAAAGCUUAUACUGAAACACCAUCCUUCAUUCUCCAUCACCAUAUUCAUUGUCACUCCACCUUACAACACUGGCUCUACUGCUCCUUAUCUCGCCCGCGUCUCCUCCACCAUUCCUUCCUUCACUUUCCACCACCUCCCCACCAUUUCUCUCCCUCUCGAUUCUUUUUCCUCUCCCAACCAUGAAACCCUUGCUUUCGAGCUCCUCCGCCUCAACAACCCUAACGUCCACCAGGCCCUUGUGUCCAUCUCCAACAAUUCCUCCGUCCGUGCCCUAAUCGUUGAUUCCUUCUGUACAACCGCGCUUUCUGUGGCUGCUCAACUCAACAUUCCAUGCUACUAUUUCUUCACUUCUGGCGCCUGCUGCCUCGCUUCCUACCUUUACCUCCCUUUCAUUCACCAGCAGACUACCAAAAGCUUUAAAGACCUCAACACCCAUCUGCAUAUUCCGGGUUUACCGCCGGUACCGGCCUCUGACAUGGCGAAACCGAUACUUGACAGAGAGGAUAAGGCUUAUGAGUUCUUCCUAAACAUGUUCAUACACUUGCCAAGAUCAGCUGGAAUCAUUGUGAACACCUUUGAAGCUCUGGAACCAAGAGCUGUCAAAACGAUUUUGGAUGGGCUCUGCGUCCUUGACGGUCCAACCUCACCAAUAUUCUGCAUAGGACCAUUAAUUGCAACUGAUGAUCGAUCCGGUGGCGGUGGAGGGGGAGGUGGCGGCAUUCCCGAGUGUUUGACAUGGCUCGAAUCUCAACCAAAACGCAGCGUUUUGUUUUUGUGUUUUGGGAGCUUGGGUUUGUUCUCAGAAGAACAGUUGAAGGAGAUAGCGGUUGGGUUAGAGAGGAGUGGGCAGAGGUUCUUGUGGGUAGUGCGGAGCCCACCCUCCAAGGACCCGAGCAGGCGUUUUUUAGCACCACCGGACCCAGAUUUGAAUUCCCUUCUCCCAGAUGGGUUUUUGGAUCGAACCAAGGAGAGGGGCCUAGUGGUGAAGUCGUGGGCGCCUCAGGUGGCCGUCUUGAAUCACGCCUCUGUUGGAGGGUUUGUGACUCACUGCGGGUGGAACUCAGUGCUUGAAGCUGUGUGCGCCGGCGUGCCAAUGGUGGCGUGGCCACUAUAUGCCGAGCAAAGGUUUAACAGGGUGGUGAUGGUGGAGGAACUGAAGCUAGCCUUGCCAAUGGAAGAGUCGGAAGAAGGUUUUAUUACUGCAACUGAGGUUGAGAAGCGAGGUAGAGAGUUGAUGGAGUCGGAGGAAGGGAACACCCUUCGUCUCCGGAUCAUGGCCAUGAAAAAAGCUGCUGAGACUGCAAUGAGCGACGGUGGAUCAUCCCGCAACGCAUUAACAAAACUGGUCGAGUCAUGGAGGCUAGGAUAGAGAGAGAAGGGUGCUCGUCUUAGCUUUCAAUUUUUUCCAAAUCUCGAUUAUUCCGUGCCACUUCAACCGUAUAUUAUCCUAAUCACACGCUACGGGGGAGAAAAUAAAGAAAGAGACAACAUUUUCAGCGUAGUUUGACAAUCAAAGAACUUGCAUUAACACUCCAUAAUCUACUUAUCAAAAUAAAUGAAAAGAGUUACGAUGGUGAAACUCUUGAAAAAAGACCUCUCAUUUACAUCACACUUUCCAAAAAAUAAAACCCUAAAUAUAAAAAGGUUAAAUAUAUAAUAUGAACAAACUUAUCAAUUAUCAUAUAAAAAAAUAAAAAUAAAAUAGUAAGACUACUCCUUUUAACCCUCGUAAGUUGAUCGGGCAGCUCGAUCCCCACGAGCUCAAUGGGGAAUUCUAUUCCCGUGAACAAAUUGGACAACUCAACCUCCGAUAUUCCAAGUAAAGUGCAAUAAUAUUGAUUUAAGCUUCACAAUCUAACAACAUAUAAUUCUUUUAUUAAUUAUCUCAUUUUUGUUACAAGUUUAUAUGAAUUUAAUUAUUCAAUACAAACACCUUAGGACCAUUUCUUGCGGUUGUCAAUGAUAAUCCAUAGAAAACUUAGAUAUCAUCCUCAUAAAAUCAUGGACAAAGAAGCAAAAAUAUCAUCUGUUAUUAGCAGAUAAAAGUCCAAGGAGAGCUACACAUGCUUGUAGUCUAUACGUUUUUCCAAUGGAUACACCCUUCAGUGUACACAUUUUUUUCUUGCGUGAAUAAAUGACAAUCCAGUCAUCACUUUCUUUUGAUCUAACAAUUCCAAAAUAUACAUAUAUGUUUCUAUCUUUUACAUGUCAUUUUCCUUUUACAUUCUAAAAGUUGUCCUCUAGAUUCUCGCUUGAAGUUGUUUUGGACUCUAUUGUAUGACUGUUACAGCCAAUAUCUAGAUAUUGGAUCUCUUGUGAUUCUUCUCUACUGUUCAUAUAAUUAAUACAAUUAGAAAUAUUAAUUCCCCCCUUUUCUAAUGUUGGGAUGGUAUUCAUUUUUCACACCAGUAUUAGAAUUGUCCCACCUUCAACAUUUGUUAAACAAAAAGGCUUCCUAUUUGUAUUAUCUUUAUUAAAAAAUGCUAGUGCAUGUAGCACUAACCCAAAUAAAGCUAAGGGGAUAAUGGUCAUUUCAUGGGUGGACCCAAAGAUCUAAGAUGUGAAUAAGUCUUUUAAAACUUGACAUAGUUAUUCAUGCAGGGCGGUUGCUCAUAACAUAUCAAAAUAGUAAGCAAAGAUUAUUAAAUCAACUUUCAAAAUGAAACAAGUCCCCAUGCAUGAGUAUUUAAAACAUUUUAUGAUUAGAUUUAAUUAAAAUAAGAUAAACUAACUAGUGGUAAAUAAUGAGGCGAAUUUUUCGAAUUUUUCCUAAUAUUCGCCUCUAAUUAGACGAGUUUAGAAGAAGCAUAAGUGGGUUAGGGGUGAGUUUGAUUUUUUUAAAAAAAAAAAAACUCAGAGGGUUGAACUAUUACUUUCUCCCUCCCCACCAUAUCCAAAUUACAUAUAUAGUUAUUAAAAUAAUUAAAUUAUUUUUUUCAUUUCCCUUUUUUUUAACACAUAAAAUUUACAAAUAAUUUUUUAUUAAAAUUAUAAAAAUUGUUUUUUAUUUAAUUUUUAAUAUAAUCAAAGUUUUUCAAAAAAUUGAAAUUUAAAGAUAAAAAAUAAUUAAAAAAAAUAAGGGAUAGGAAAUUUAUAUAUAUAUAUAAUAGAGAGGAGAAUAUCUUUUGUAUUUCGAAUAAGAAGAGAAUAACUAAAAAUAACAAAUAAAAAGAAUAUCAGAGAUAUUUAAUGAAAUUUCAAAUUGAUGAGAAUUAUAUGUAUUUAAUCAAAAUCUUAAGAGAGAUGAAUGAAAUUAACUGAAUUAGAAAUUAAUCAAUUACUUAUAUCUACUUUGCUAUCUAAUUCAUUAAUCAUCACUUACAAUUACCAAAAUACUAUGGUCCUUAAAUGCAGAAACUUCAGACCCAGGCCCAACAAGAUAAGGGGAGCAUCAGUACUUAUAAUCCCUUAAGAAUUUCUAAUCAUAUAUAUUCUAGAGAUCCAAAAUUUCAACCAAAUUUGAUAGCACCCGAUAUCCGUGUUAGAUUUUGACGAGCCUUUUGUCAAGAUUAAAACCAACGACCAAUAAUUUUGAAUCAUUAUUUCAUUUUUAUUGAUAUUAAUCAAUAAAAUUAAAGUGAACUUGUUAUCAAUAAGUUUAGUUUAGUUAUAUUGAUUGAUGUCGAUGAAUUAUUUUUAACUGAAUAAAAAAAGUCAAUUGUUUUGGUUUUGUCUAUUUAGUCAAAAAACAAAUACCACCUUAGAGUGUGUUUUUUAUAAUAAUUUUAAAAAAAAUUUUUAAUUUUUUCAAUACUUGAAAAUUUUUAUUUUUCAAAUAUUAGAAAAAAAAAAUACUUUGUAUCAUUAAUUUAUAUUAUUGGUAGGCUAAAAUAGGCUCAGUUUUCAAAUUACCUCUUCCAGGGCCAUGGUUAUUUUUCAUUUUUCCACCUUUACCGUAUGACCAUACUAGUGUUUGAAUUUUGAACCUCCACUUCAACCUAAAAUUUAUUAGGGUAGUUGCCUUGUUCUUUAUAUUUUCGUCCUUCUUUUAUGAUAGGUUUGACAGCCUCAAAAGCUUGUUCAAUCACUUUUCACAUGCUUCAAGCUAUUAACUAUUUACAUUUUGUAUGGCAGAAGAAACAUGUUCUUGUUUUUGCAGGCAAAGUCCUUAAAACUUGCUUAUCAACACCUUCUCUUCUUGAAUUGUGUGUCCACAACUCAUAUUAACAAAAUCUCCACAAAUUUUGAAGUUCUAUUGAAAUUAUUUUAUCACUUCUCUUGGGAUUCUUAAUUUUUAUAAUACUUCUUAUGCAACUUUAGCUUUCUAAUCCCCAAAAACUUCUAGGAAGAAUAACUUAAUUUGCUUAAGAGUUGUUUGGUUAAAUUUAAUGCUUAUUUGUUAAUGAUUUAAGUUAAAUUAUACUUAAAUUAUUGAUUAAAAACUUAUUGUUUAAUUAAUAUUAUUUGAUAAAAUUAAUUUAAAAUUAAUUUUAAAUUAUCAAAUUGACAUAUUUAUCAUCAUAAAUUAUAAUUAAGGUAAAGGAAGUCGAGUAACAAUAGAAGUUGUAAAGUAACAAAAGAGAUCGUUGAGGUAAUUAGAGUAAAUUAAAAUAAAAAUAAAUAAAAUAAAGAUAUGAAUUUAAAAAUAAGUUAAUUGUUUUUACUUAUUAUUUAAAGUUAUUUUUCACUUUAAAUCAUACUAUUAAAUUAUUUUACCAAAUAUACUUAAUUUACUUAAUAACUUAAAUUAAAUUAUUAUGUCACUUUAAGUUAUUAAAUUGGUUCACCAAACACCCCUAACCUUUCUUGAAUAUGUAUAGAAGUAUAAAGAGAUCUAACAAAAGUAACUUUGCUUAUUUUAUACUUUGUUAAACAUAUAAUAAGUUAAAUAAAGAGAGACAAGUUUUUCUUUAACAAGAAUCACUAAGUUUACAAUGAAAGAAGUCUAUCUUUUUGACACUUGGUUUUCACAAGAUACCAAUGGACCUUUGGUGUACACUUAAUGUUUCCAUGUGAUUUAAUGCACAUUAAAUGCUAUUAAAAACUUGUUGAAUAAUAUUUCCAUGUGAUUAUCAAGUGGUUGGUACAUGAUAGAUAAAUUUCAAGAAGUCUGUUUAGGCACUAAUCUUGUCAAUCUAAAUUUGCUAUUGCACUACAAGGAAAAUGUCAAAAGAUGACGCUUUUUAAGUGUCAAGAUAGAUAUAAGAUGACGCUUUUUAAAAGCGUCAUAUAUUAGACUGUCAUCUUUUUAAAUCACAUACGUUGACACUUUUAGAAGCGUCAUUUUCUUUGCACGUCAACCAUGACGCUCAUAGUAAGUGUCAUUAUUUGAAACAUUGACGCUUUAUAAGUGUCAUCAUAUGUUAAUAAUUUCAUUCAUGUCAAUAUUGACACUCAAUGAAGCGUCAUUGUAUAGGUAGAAGCAACAUUGACACUCAAUAUAAGUGUCAUCUUAUAACUUUUUAUUUGUAGGAGCAACUUUGACACUUAAUAAAGUGUCAUUGUAUAAGUAGAAGCAACAUUGACACUCAAUAUAAGUGUCAUCUUAUAGCUUUUUUUAUUUGUAGGAGCAACAUUGACACUCAUAAUAAGUGUCAUCGUAUAGCAUUUUAUACCUUGACACUAAAAAAAAAUGCCAUGUUUUUUUAACAUUAACCUUGACGCUUUUGAGAAGUGUCAUCUUCUGUUAUUCAAGUAAAGCAUGACGCUUUAAAAAAGCGUCAUCUUAUCUCAUAUAAAAUUUUAAUAGCCCAGAAAUUAAAAUGUCCUAAUUAUGCCCUGUUUUAUAAUUUUCUAUCAACAAUUAAAUUAAUAAUGAAAACUUAAUUUAAGAAUCUCCAUUGACAAAAAGUAUCAAAUAUGGUCUCCCUUUUUCACUAUUACAAUUUAUCCAUAAACAUCAUAUAUAAUCAACAACUAAAACCAACAAUUUUACAACUUCUUCUUCUCAACUUUAAAUUGUUCAUAACCUUCACUACAUCUAGUUUUACAUCAUUUUUCUUCCAAGUGCAAAAGGAUGGUUGUAACUCACUUUCUAGAUGCUCAAUCUGCAAAAUAAUUGAGAGGGUUACAUAUUUAUUAGUAUUAACAAAUAGUUAAGAAGCAACUUUGUAAAUGAAAUGUGUAUAUGCCAAUUUUUAAAUUUCCAAAAUAUCUUUCUUCCAUUGCAAUAAAUUUCAAAAUAUCAAAAGAACUCAACAAACUCCAAUAAUUUUAUUACACCAAAUUUCUAAAUAUUUUAGAACUCUUAUUCUAUUUUUUUUUUUUAAAAACAAAAAAAAAAAGUUUUUAUCUCAUUGACUAUUUUGGUAUGAUUUUUAUCUUAUUUAUGAAACUUCAACCAUUAACAUCUUCUCAUUCUUCUUAUAGGUUGUACAAGACAUUAGAUGUUUUGCAUGAGAAGGAACUAAGGAAUGAAAAAAAAAACAAAAAAAACUAGAAGUCCAAAAAAUUAUAAAAUUUUAAAUUAACAUAUUUAUGUAAAAUUAUAAAAUUGUGUUAAAAUAUCUAUGUUCUUCUUAUUGUAUUAGUAUAUCAACAUUUAAUAAUAUGAGGAUAUCUAUUAUCUAAAUAUGGAACUUGCAUGAAAUGAUCUCUAAACAUGGAAUUGAUUCAUAAAACUUACAAUAACCACAACAUGUUACCUCAAAAUUCUUUUGAUGAUAUAUUUUGAAUUGUUUGUAGGUGUCCUUCAUCAAGAGCAGUAGUGACGUUGUUAAUAGAAUGACCUAUGCCUUUUUGUACAACCUGAAGAAUAUAUAAUAAACAAUUUAACAACCAAUUAGUAAGAGGUGCUAUUUCCUUCCAUAGGCUUAUUUGUAAGAAGUCUUAAACUAACUUCCUAUUUUUGUAUGUAAAAGAAAAUGGAAGUACAAGAUAUUAUAGACUUUAAGCCCAUUAGUAUAGUAGGAGACCUUUAUAAAUUUAGAUUAAAGAAGUUUAUAAAGCUAGUAAUCUUAAAGACCAAAAAUGCUUUUGUAGAGAAUAGACAAAUUCCUAAUUCAUGCACAUGUAAUGAAACUAAAGGCUCUACGAAAAUGAGCUUGGACAUGCAGAAAUUUUUGUAGCUAUGCUAUUGUAGGAUUUCUCCAAAUCUAACUGAUAAUAAUUUGUAGAGGAAAUAUACAAAAGUUGUUACACCUACCAUGUCUACUUGGCUUCACCUCUCAAUAUGCCAACUAUACAUCAAUCAUAAUAGAGCAACCCCCAAAAUGAUCCAUAUUGAAAACACUGCCAACUAGGAGUACAAAGAUAUACAUUAACAAAUUAUCAUUGUGAAUAAAUCCAUUAUAAAAUUAACAUUAACAAAAUAUUGACUACAUCUUUAAAAGAAUAUGAAGUUGUAUUAGACUAUAAGUUAUAAGAGGUACUUUCAAACAUGAGUAAUGAUUAACUGAGUCACUAACAUAACCCAAUCUGAUCGAACUUCAUUAAUUUCCAUUUCACUAUAUGAUUUCUUCCCACAAAACUGAAUUGGAGUGACAUAUACAAUUCACUAAGUUCAAUUGACCAAAAAAAAAAAAAAUGCUAUAGUAAAAUGACCAACCAUAUGAAUUGAAUUGAGUGCAAACCUUUGAUGUUAGUUGGUUUGGAUUAGCAAUGAUUUCCUUCAUAUAUCUCAUCACGUAAUACCCACAUUCCACACUACCUGGUUGUCUUGGGCACUAUGGGAAAAGUAUCAACAAUUGCAAUAAACACUAGAAUGAUGUUCUUACUUCUUUAGCAUCUUAUUGAUGAUCAUAUUAAUAACCAUCCAUUUUCUAAUUUUUUCAUAAAUUAAGUGGUGAAGCAAUAUAUUUUAAUCUAAACAAAUAAGUACUUACAACCACUUUCACCCAAGUUGGCUCCCUCUUUGAUGUUUUCUGUUUUUCCGGUGGGUUGAUUCUCAUUACCCUACAAAAAGAAUUAAAAAGAUGUUAUUUAAACACUAUCAAUUGUAUUAAAAUAGGAGAAAAUAUAUACUUACAUGUUAACUAUGUCCUUAAGAUCAUCACAUGGUUGACAUGCCAUUGGAUCAAGGUAAUAUGCAAUCAUUUUCUUCAUCUCCAAUGCCACUAACACCCAAUGAAAACUAAAGAAAAGAAAUGAAAAUUGUAAUAUAGUAUCCACAAAUUCAAACAUCACAAACUAACUUACAAACACCAUAUUGAUAUUUAGGAUAAAAGGUUACUCUAGGUUGUAUGGAAUAAGCAUAUAUUCAGCAUGCUUUGUAUUCUUUAGUCGAUCUGCAAUAACCCUUGACCUGUUUUCCUUGCUUCCCUCUCCUAUUCCAGCUUUUGAGACCAAUGCUGGAUUGACAAAAACAUAUCGUUCGGCCUGCUUUGCAUCAAUCAACUUUCUAUGCAAAUGCCUGAUUAUAACCCAUAUGACAAGUUAUCAACAAUCAUUAUAGGUCAUUAGAAAAUAACCUUCUAUCUCAUAAUCUUGUAAAAAGUCAUUCAAAAAUUAUAAAAUCCCUUACCAGAUGUAGUAUAAAAUACAAUUGGAUGACACUUCUUUUGAUGAUAUUAUCAUUUCCAUAUCUUCUUUCAUCAUGAAGGUCUUGAAACUCUCACCAAAAACAUCCUCUGGGAAGUUUAUAGGGUAUGCUCUUGAUGUACUCAGCAUGAGGCCAACCAAUGUCUCAAAAUUUUUCAUAUCUUGUGGUUUUUCACCCUUGGAUUUGACUUCAACUUCAUUUACUUUUUGUUUCUUUGCUUUCUUAGAUGCCUGUACAAUUAAGAACCAUGGUACAAAUCAAAUUAACUAGUUAUAUAUAUAUAUAUAUAUAUAUAUAUAUAUAUAUAAAGUCACUAUAAAGUUUGGUAAUUAAAUUUACUUACUAAGAUGGGAGUACGGAUGAUGACCAAAUCAGUUGGCCACAAAACUUGGUAACCAAUUGCAGCCCCAACAGUAGUAGUUUGUCCAGGAAUAGGAAUGGGAAGGGGUGCACUUGAAUCAUAAGGAGCAUCAACAACUACUAAAUAGUUGGGACCACAUUCAAGUAUAAUUGUUCCACCUGCCACUAUAUUUUCCUUGGUGCCUAUGGCCAGCUCACAUUUUCUAACCUACAAAACUCAAUUCACAAUAAUCACUUCAAUAUUAGUGGGUUUAUACAAAACUAACAUAAAUGCAUUAUCAUCAUCAAUCACCUUAUAGCUCCUAUUACAAUGAUAAAUGCAAUUUCAUUUACAUUCAAUUGCAACAAACUUGCAUGAUAACAUUUCAGUCCAUUGCAUAUAACUCAACCCAUAAUUUAGACAUAUCCUAUUAUAUGUUGCCACAUCAAAGAAGACCAUAUAUGUUGCCACCAACAUUUGAAGUUAAUUCAAACAACAAAAUUAAAUUAAAUUAUUUCUCGUAUUAGAGGAAACUUUGUCAUCAAAUUAGCUUAAUUGAAUAAAUACCUUCUUCUGUGGUUCUAUUGCUUCUGGUGGGGUCACAUCUUCAACUUUACAGAUUGGCUUAUCCACUGCUUCUGGUAGGAGAAGUUGUUUUUGCUUCAUGUUUGAACUGCUAACAUCAGAUUGGGGAGUAACAACUCCUACUUGAGUCAGUUUUGCUAGCACUUCUGCCUGAAAUAUUCUUUGUUCUUCUUUAGAUGCUGCUAUGAAAUCCCUGACAGCACGAUCUGCAGCACUAUUGAAAUAUUGGCGAGGUGUGUAGUGCUUCCCUUUGGCCCUAACUCGACCACUAUACUCAGGAGUACCCAAUGCUUCCACAAGUAUAUCAUUACUUCCACUAACACUUCUACCAUUCUCUUGAGACUCUUUCAAUAGCUUGUCCUUAAAAAAUAUUAAUUAUAAAGUUAAAUUGCAAAUUUGUUAUUGUAAAUAACUUAUUAUAAAUAUAUGUAAUUAAAAUUGAAAAAUAUUCACUUACUAUUUUCUCAAUUACUGGUAUGGCCACUUCAUCAAAGGUGCCGUCCUUUUUUUCCCUUGCUUUCUUCCACAAUAUGCUUCGAUCAAUAGUUUUAAUUGAUCCACUUGCAACCAUCUUUCAAAAUAGGACAAUGUAUAAUAUAAUUAUCAUAUAACCCUAUUAUGUAUUAUGCAUAAAAUAAAUAAAAAACAAUUAAUAGGCUUACACUUACCAUCUCUUCCUUAAGACCGGCAUAUCCUUUCCUACUUAGAUGGUGAUUAUAAAUGUUUCUCUUUCUUCUUUCUUUUUGAAUUUCUCGAUAUUCCUAUAAAUUAAAAUUUUAUAAUUAAUGAAUGUGAAUAAGAGGUAUGUAAAGAGUCUUAAUUAUACCUUAAAGUUGUCAGACAAUCUAUCUUUGAAAAAUAUUGUCCAUCUUCAUCCUCAAUAAAAGUAUAUUGAAUUGGUGGUCUUUUGAGGAGCUCCGGUUGGUCUUCAAAAGGAAGAAUGUACUUCACUGUUAGCAAGUUCUUAAAGGACCGAAAGUAUUUUCCCAUUGUUAACAUACAAUUCCUCCUGCUUUUAUGAUUUAAUGAAAAAACAGUCUGCACAUUAAUACCAAACUUUAGUAAUUUCAAGAGGUUAAGAAUGAUAGACAUUUUGCAUCAAAGUGAUUUAAAUAAGAAAUGGUUACCUCAAUGCUGUCCCAUAACUUAUCCUUCAACUGUUUAGGUACAACAUGCCAAGUUUUAUAUCUUAUUGGCACCAUAGUGCGUGCUAACACGCCUAAGUAGCUUGUUAGAUGAACUGCUGAUUCUCCUAUGAAAAUGCCAUCAAGAUUGUACUUAACCGACAACUUAACCCCCUUGCUUCUGUUUUUUAUAAUCAUAUGCUUCCGUGUCAUCCCUCUGUACUUCCUUUUCAUGGGUUUUUCUCCUUCCUUUGUCUCCAUUCUUGUAACAAAAAAAAUAAAAAAUGAUAAAGAUUAGUUAAAAUUAUAUUGCAUAUAACCUAGUCAAAGAAUAAUUGUAAAACAUAACUUUUCAAAGAAACAAAUCCAUAAUCAUUGUACAAUGAAAUGCAAUAGAUCAUGAAUUCAAUAGAUCUUUUUAGAAUUGUUCAUCAUAUAACAAGGAUAACACUUCAUUUAAACUUUUUUUUGUCCCGCUUUGUUUAACAUUUCAUUUAUUUUAAGCAACCCAAGGGCCUUUGUAUAAGAAAGCUUAAUUUGCAGUAGGAAUUUCCUAUAAGAAUCAACAUGGAAGGAGCACGUGGUUUCAACAAGUUCAUCAAGUCCAUAAGAACUUAUGAAUGCUUUUGGACUAUCGGUUUGUGUUACAUUAAGUUUGGAAAACACAACAUGCAUAUUGAUAAUAAAAAAUUUCAUAAUUUUUUUACUCACAAACAUAACUAAUUUAGUAUCUUCCAUGCACAAUUUAGGGAAAAGGUUUUAGUAAAUAUGUUAUUGGGAGAUGUUAAAGAAUGAUCAAUAUUUUGUGCAAAAAAAUAAAGAAAGGAUAAAAAUUACCUAUUUUGUGGCUGUUGCAACCCAUUCCAUGGCCUUUAUUCAUACAUUAGCAUUAAAAUAUAGCUACAUAGAGGAUUUGUUCUCAAUCCAAAUCCCCUCACAAUCGCCUCGCAUACAUGUUGCAUCUGAGUCAUCCAUUACAUCAAACGCUUCAAUUUGUGGCAAUGCCCCUAUAAAGGGAUGGUGUUCAAUCGAAUUGUCAACAAAGUCUUCACCUCCUUCCAUAUCCAAGAAAUCUUUUUGAGGAGUUGACAAAACAACCGACCAUCUUGGAUCAAGUUGGUCUUGCACAUAAAAUACUUGCUUAGCUUGGGAUGCCAAAAUGAAAGGAUCUGAUUUAUGAGCAAUUUUGCUAAAGUCAACUAAUGUAAAGCCAAGAUCAUCAACUUUUAUGCCAUUUUUAUUAUCAACCCAAUCACACUUGAAAACCGGUAUCCUAAACAUGGUAUAAUCAAGGUCCCAGAUCUCGGUAAUAAUGCCAUAGAAACAAAGCUCACCAAACACUGGAUUUUGAUCCUUUGCACUUGCGAUUUGCAUUGUUGAAGCUACAAUACUAACUCCACUAUUUUGGGUAGUUCGUAAGUCAUCUCGUUCCUUGGUAUGGUAUCGACACCCAUUAAUGACAUAUCCAUGAUAUUUAGAGACAUAAUGGCUAGGACCAUGAGCUAUCCACUUAAGGGUUUCAGAUAUAGGUUCAUUAUUACCAAUUGCAGCUUCAAUCUGUAAUUAUAAAUAAUAGUUAUUAUGUAUGUUAAACAUUAGUAAAAAGAAUACUUCACAUUAUAACACCAUUCCAAUACCUUUUUUCUCAACCAAUAAGUAAAAGUCUGCAGGUGUUCAUCCUGGAGCCACUUUUGUCUUUUUGAUUGACGAGGAUUUUUCAAUUUCAACCAUUCCAUGUGCUCUCUAUGUAAUUAUUUAUAAGAAAUUCAAAGUUAAUGUCUUAAAGUUAUUUUAAGUAUCAGACACAAAUAUUAAGUGUUAGUGGUUCUUACUCAAUAUAAGGUUGAACAAUAGUUGUAUUCUCUAAAACAUAAUGAUGUGCAUGUAACCACAAAUUGGAAUCAAUUGUCACAACUUGACCUCCAGGUAUUGGUGCCCAACUUUUUGGUCAAUGUUUGCACUAAUAGGAAUCCCAAUCGCAUCUACAUUUGAUAAAUACUCUGUACAAAAUUCAAUAGCUUCCUCUGCAAUAUAGCAUUCAGCGAUACAACCUUCGGGCCGAUUACGGUUUCGUACAUACCCUUUCAAAACUUUCAUGAAUCUUUCAAAUGGGUACAUCCACCUUAGGUAAACUGGUCCACAAAGUCUCACCUCCCUUACAAGAUGUACAGUAAGAUGAAACAUGAUAUCAAAGAAAGAAGGUGGAAAGUACUUCUCAAGCAAGCAUAAUGUCACCACCAAAUCAUUUUGUAACUUAUCCAGUGCAGACACAUCAACCACUUUGCUACACAGAGCAUUGAAAAAAAAACUCAAUCUGCAAAUAGCAUGUCUUACAUGCUUUGGCAAAAGGGAUCGUAAUGACAUUGGCAAUAACUGUUGCAUUAAUGUAUGAUAGUCAUGCGAUUUAAGACCAUAAAGCUUCAAGUCUUCCAUUGACACAAGGUUUCUCAUGUUAGAGCAAUAACCUUCAGGAACCUUUAAUUGUGAUAAAGUUUGGCAAAAAACCUUUUUCUCCACUUUAGAUAACGUAUAACAUGCAGGUGGGAGAUAAGUUCGAUUUGAUUCAAACCUUGGCCCCAAUUCACACCUUAAGCCCAUCUCUAGCAAGUCUAGGCGAGAAUUAAGUCCAUCUUUCGUCUUACCUGGAAUGUUGAGUAAGGUACCAAUGAUGCUUUCACAAACAUUCUUCUCUAUGUGCAUUACAUCCAAGCUAUGACGAACAUGUAGGUACUUCCAAUGCUCAAGAUCAAAGAAUAUGGACUUCUUUUUCCAACAAUUUGUAGUAUUGACAUUCAACUUGCCUCGGGAGUUUUUAUUUUUUCCCCAUGAAUUAGAAAUGACACCAAUUUUCCUUAGGAUUUCUUCUCCACUCAAUGGUUGCGGAGGUGAGCUAAACUCUUGUUUACCAUUAAAUGUCUUCUUUUGUUUCCUAAAAGGAUGGUUGCAAGGAAGAAAUCUUCUAUGACCUGUAUAUGAGUUCUUUUUCCCAUGCUUCAAUCUGUGAGAGAAUGUAUCUUCCCCACAUAUGGGACAUGCAAAAUAUCCUUUAACUACACAACCAGAUAAGUUUCCAUAUGCAGGAAAAUCAUUGAUUGUCCAUAGUAGAACAGCUCUUAAUGUAAAGACCUCUUGCUGAUGCACAUCAUAACAUUCAACCCCUACAUCCCACAACAUUUUUAAGUCAUCCAAUAAUGGUGCCAAAUAAAUAUCAAUGUCAUUUCCAGGUUGUCGUGGACCUGAUAUUAAUAAAGAUAGCAUCAUAAACUUCCUUUUCAUGCACAACCAAGGAGGAAGGUUGUAAAUAACCAUUAUAAUAGGCCAACAACUAUGUUUACUGCUCAUUGAACUAUGAGGAUUUAUACCAGCUGCUGAAAUGGCAAGUCUAAGAUUUCUAGGUUCUGAAGCAAAAUCAGGCCAUCUGUGAUCAACUAGCUUCCAUGAUGGGGAGUCAGAUGGAUGACGCAUUUUACCAUCAAAUUCUCUUUCUUGAGCAUGCCAUAUGAGGUCUUUUGCAAUUUUUGGGGACUGAAACAAUCUUCUAAAUCUUGGAAUAGGAGGAAAAUACCACAUUACUUUUGCAGGGACUCCCUUCCUCUUUUUAGUACCUGUUCCAUCUAACUUCCACCUUGAAGUUCCACAAGUAGGACAAGAAGUUGCAUCCUUCAACCCAUUUCUAUACAAUAUGCAAUCAUUGGGACAUGCAUGUAUUUUCUCAUAUUCCAUUCCCAAUGUAUUCAAUGUUUUUUUUGCUUCAUACAUAGACAGAGGCAACUCAUUGUUUAGAGGCAACAUAUCUCCAAGAAUACUUAAAAGCUCUGAAAAGCUUUUAUCAGACCAUCCAUAUCGUGCUUUCAGGUUGUAUAAUUUGACCAAUGCAGAUAACUUUGUAAAGUUUCUACAACCAGGAUAUAAAGGUUUUUUAGCAUCUUCAAGUAAUGUUUCAAACAAUUUUGGGUCAUUCUUACGAUCAUCAUAUGCAACUUGAACCAUUUCUAUUGUACUAUCCACAUCGUUAAAUUCAACUGUAUGAUGCCAUUCUACCCUACUAGUUGGUGGUCCACUUGGAGCAGCGUCUCCAUGCCAAUACCAUGUAUGGUAACUCUGAUCAAUUCCAUAGAAGAAUAAAUGUUCUCUAAUUUUUUGAGGAGUGUGGAAUAUCAUAUUACCACACUGAAGGCAUGGACAUUUCAUGGAGUUUUUAUAUGUGGAAUAUUGUAAUGCAAAUGCGAUAAAGCUUUCUACCCCAUCUGCAUAAUCCUUUGAUCUCCUAUCCUUUGACAUCCAAGAACGAUCCAUUUGAUGUACAAGAGAUAAACACAACUCCUAGAUACCACCAACAACUAAAGUUAUUAAUAAAAUCCUAUUAAUAGGCUUAAAAUAUAUAAUCUACCAAAUUAAAAUUUCCCACAUUGUCACUAAACUUAGACCAAUCCAAAAAAGGACAAUGUGCAAGUCAUCUAACAAUAAGCAAUAUGACAAGAAACAUAAUUAGUAUAUUAGGUUAUUCAAUAUUGGCAUAAAAAAUGGAUCUUAGUUCAUUCAUGAUGUUUGCUUUAUUCAUGAAUAGGAAUGAAAAGCAAGAUCUAACUUUUAGUCUUCUCUUAUAUUAUUGAAUACACCAAGUUUGAAAAUUUUAAAACACAUAACCACAUGAGACAAUGAUACCAUGAACUAAAACAAUUAACGAAUGGAACUAAGAUUCGAAUGAAUAGAAGCAAGUGAUUUAUACAUGAUUUAGGCAUUCUAACAUCUCUAACAUCCUUAAUUAGGUGGUGGUUCCUAUCCCAUAUAGGAAUACAUAAUCCCUAUGUGUCAAUUGGCAAUAUACUUAAAUUCAUUUUAAAGAAAUUUCGGCAGCAUUUCCCUAUAGUUCUCCAAGUACACAAAAUGGAUAAGGCACAAUAUGUGACCUUGUCCAAAUAUGCACCUAGAGAACAAGAAGAAAGACUACCAAAUUUUCUCAAAAUUGAAUUAAGAACAAGCAAUUAACUUCAUAGAUAUCAUGUUUUCCUAUACUGUCCAGCUGGACAAUUCAAACAUCAUUUGCAGAGAAAAGAUUUUAUCACAUGGAAGACAAAUUUAGUAAUUGUCAACUUGAAACUGGCUUAAAUAUACCCACAUUUCACAUUUUGACAACUUAUUGUCUUAGUAUGUAAUAAGAGAAACUUCUGUCUCACAAUGAUACUUGAAUGGGAAUUCUAAGGUUUCAUGCAUGCAUAGUUGAUUAAAACUAAAACAUAAAUACUUAUUAAAAUAUUACAUCUAGUUAUGUAUUAUAAAUUAUUCAUAUCAAUUGAAAUGGUGAGAAUAGGAAAAUAUUGUUUGUAAGCAUCACAUUUUAGACCUAAGUUCACAAACUUUGCUAAAUCCAUUAAAGACCCACUACAUAAAGUUCAUGUUAAAAUUGGUUCAUCUCCAACCCCCAAAAUGAUUUAUCAAAGUUACUCAUUUUUUAGAGUCUUGAUUAAUUAGAUAAUCAAUAUAGAUACAUAUAAUUUGUAUUAAUAUAAUAUCAUGAUAUUUUUUUCAUUUUGUUUUUAGGCUUAGACUUGGGUAGAUUUCCCAAGUAAGGCUAAAGUAGAGCUAAGCCGCACCUUGACAUGUGUUCUACUUAUGUUGGGGGUGACCAUUCUAGUUUAUGGUCAUAAGUGGGGUGUCAAAUCUCAAUUAGUUUAUUGAAUAGAUGAACCAAACAUGACGUUAUUAUUAAUUAGAUAACAUGUUGUGUAACCCAUUUAAAAAUGAAGUUGAAUAACAUCUUUUGUAACAUAAGCAAUGAAGCCUAUGUCAGAUUGUGAAGCUUAAAUUAGUAGUAAAUGUUGCACUUCGCUCGGGAUGUCGGGGGUCGAGCUGCCCGGUCAGCUCGCGGGGGUUGAAGGGGGCAGCGCCCCCUGAAGAAAUUUUUUUUAUUUAAUUUGAAAGCCGUAUGAUUCUGCUCAUAGGCAGUAGUUAUUGAGUUCCAUGGCACUACAUCCCUUAAUAAAAAUUGUUGAAAAACUUUCUAUGCAUUCCAAGAGCCCAUAUCUCGAAAUGACAUUUCAUCAAACAAGUUAUAGGCAGUACCUACAACUCCAUGGAAAGCAAGCUCAUUUCGGCAUGAACCAUUGUACACAAAUGGAACAACACCAGAACCAUUUCCAAAUCUUCCAGAGAACAUAAGAACCAGAGAACAAAAACAGAGGAGAGACACAACUGAGCCUAAAAACAGAGGUAUAGUAUCUUUUUAUCGAAAAUGCAAACCAAGAAAAUAAUUGAUAAUAAAAAAAAACCACAACAAAUUUACAAGCAUUCACACUCAAAUCCCAGAAAUCAAUAGUGAAGAAUGUGAAUCAAUGGGAAAACGAGAACAUAUGGGCUCGUACCAGACAACUCUCUCUUCUGGGUUUUUUCUUCUCCCUUCUUUUCUUUCCUCUGUUCCUCUGGUUCUUCGACCUUUCCUCCUUGCUUACCUCUUCAACCGAAGGCACCUGCCUUUGCUGCCUCUUGCCUCUCCCAACCUACGAAUCUAAAAAAACCCUAGCUUUCUCUCAUAUCUCCAUUCAUUUCCUUUCUCUCAAUCCAGCACCCAAAUAGUCAAAUCGGUGGAACAUCCAUGAAUGCUAUCUUCUUGAUUUGGAGUAAGAACUUCAUUUUCUCAAUCGAAAUUGGUUGGAGCUUGCUGGUUCAAUUAGAGACAGAUUUGGUAAUGAAACUUGAGUGUGGGCAUCGGGUAUGGAAAAACCUUUAUAUUACAUUUAUCUCUUUUUUUUUAAUUGAAAAAUGUGAGUAAUUAUAAAAUGAACAGAAAAUGACGCUUUUAAAAGCGCCAAGGUUGAGGUUCUCCUACAAUGGCACUUAAAAAAGCGUCAUUAUUUGAAAUGCAUUAUACAAUGACGCUUCUAAAAGCGCCAAGGUUGAGGUUCUCCUACAAUGACACUUAAAAAAGCGUCAUUAUUUGAAAUUCAUUGUACAAUGACACUUAAAAAAGCGUCAUUAUUUAAAAACGUCAUUAUUUCUCCCAUUAAAGCGCCAAGAUAAUGCAAGCGUCAUUAAUACCCAUUUUUGAGAAUAAAUAAUGGCACUUUAUAUAAGCGUCAAGAAAAAAAGCGUCAUAAAUUACAUUUUUUGUAGUAGUGUUGGCAUUAAGUACUAUUGGUUAUUGCAGGCUCAACUAUCCAAUUGCUAGGCCGAGCUACUUUAAUUAAGGAGAAUAUAUAUAUGUGUUUUUAUUUGAAAGUUUGAAAUAAAAUAGAAAAUAAGAAUAGUUGAAAAAAUAAUAAAAUUUAUGGACUUUCAAGUAGAAAAUAGUCCUUAUAUAUAUCAUUAAAAGGUUCAUAAUACUCAAAUAUUACUUUUGACUUAAAAAUGCAUCAAAUAACAAUUUUUUUUAAUUGCAUAGUGUGAAUCCAAAUAUGAAAAAAUGAGAUCUCAUUUUACAUAUAUUUUAAAAUAAGACUAUGAAAACAUAUUUUUCCUAUAUUAAACGGAGAAAACAUUUCAAAAGGGUGAAACAAUGUACUCUAUAAACAAAUGAUAAUUUCAAUCAGCCAAUUUUUCUUCUUGGGUUCUAGGAUCUUUAAACGUAUGAUUAGUGAGAUAUUUUGUGUUUAAAUUAACGGGGUUUAAACCAUGUUUUUAAAGUAUGGUUUUACAUGAUUGGUAUAAGAACACUUUAACAACCAAGGUUUUGUUCCAAUAUAGAAGUGUAUUUUUUUCUAUAUCCAUCAAAUAAACAUCACCAAUCAAAUGGUGCCACAUAUACAUUUUUAGGUUUCGUUGUUUAUACUCUCAUCUCAUUUGUUUGUAUUUAUCAUUAUACCUUAGUUUCAUUAAUUUGUACUAUUUUUUAACCGUCUAGAUCAUAUCAUAUAUAUUCAUGGGUUUGAAGUUUGUUUGGUAUAUACGCAUUACCAUGUUACUUUAGCAUUUUCCUAACAACCAUGACCCUAAGACAUGUCUAUGCAAUCUGCUUGUAAGCUUACCAUGCAUUCAUACCUCCAAAAGCCAGAAACCACAAUUUGGUAAAGCUCUAACUUUAUCACUCAACUAACAUAAGGGUAGGUUGAGAUCAUCAUGCAACGUUGGUUAUUAUAUUGAAUUCAAAUUGUCAAUUACAACAACCCAUGUGCAUUAUCUUUACUGUCUGGAAGCCAAGAAUAAUUUGUGGCAGUGUCUCUCGGGAGAACCAGAAGCAGUGUCUGAGCGGUUCGUUUCCAGCAACUGAAAGUCCUGAUUACCCGGGUCUAUCAGCCCUCCCACGGAAUUGUAACAUGUUGACUGGUAGAUAUCUCUAUCUCUCUUCAGAUUAAAAGCAUCAAUAUAUGGAUAUGCUCUUAGACAUACAGAGUUGACCCAGCAGGAGAAAGUAGCCACAGAGUAGCUAAACCCUAAGAAUUUUGAAUGAUGAAGAACACCAUUGUUCUGUAUCCUUCUUCAGGUUUAAGCCACCUUGUUCCCAUGGUAGAGAUUGGCCGACUCCUGCUCGCUAACUACCCUUCCUUUUCCAUCACCAUCCUCAUUGCCACCCUACCUUCUGACACCGCCUCCACUGCCACAUACAUCGCUUCCAUUGCUGCCACCACCCCUUCCAUUUCCUUCUACCACCUCCCCACUGUUUCUUUUUCCAACCCGUCCGGUUUUCCAGCUCUAUUCUUUGAAUUUAUAACCCUUAACAACAAUAAUCUCCGUCAAACCCUAGAAUCCAUGUCCCAGACCUCAAGUAUUAAAGCCUUCAUCAUCGACUUCUUCUGCAAUACCUCUUUCGAAAUUUCGGCAAAUCUUAACAUCCCAACAUACUAUUUGUGUACUUCAGGGGCAAAUGGGCUUGCGAUGUUCCUUUACCUCCCAACGAUUGAUAGACACAUUACAAAAAGCUUGAAAGAUGAUCUCAACAUGCAUAUCCAUGUCCCGGGAACACCAUCCAUUGCAGCUUCUGACAUGCCCUUGGCGUUGCUUGAUCGCAGGACUGAAGUCUAUCAAUACUUCAUUGACACCGGAAAUCAGAUGGCUAGAUCAUCUGGAAUCAUCAUAAACACUUUUGAAUCGCUUGAACCAAGAGCUAUUAAAGCGAUAUCAGAGUGCUUCUGCGUUCCAGAUGCACCGACUCCUCCAAUUUUCUGCAUCGGGCCAUUGGUCUUGAAUUCGAAUCGAGCUGGUGGUGGCGGUGAUGAACAUGACUGCUUGGGCUGGCUCAAUAUGCAGCCAAGUCGAAGCGUCGUGUUUCUGAGUUUUGGUAGCAUGGGGUUGUUCUCAUCGGAGCAGUUGAAGGAAAUCGCAACUGGGCUAGAAAGAAGUGGAGUGAGGUUCUUGUGGGUGGUGCGGAUGGAGAAGCUCAAUGGAGAAACACCUCAGCCAAGCUUGGAUUCAUGCUUGCCAGAAGGGUUCUUGGAGAGAACGAAAGAUAGAGGUUAUCUGGUGAAGUCUUGGGCACCACAGGUGGCGGUGCUGAGUCAUGACUCGGUUGGCGGGUUUGUGACUCAUUGCGGGUGGAAUUCGAUUCUGGAAUCUGUGUGUGCUGGAGUGCCUAUGGUGGCAUGGCCUCUGUAUGCAGAGCAAAAGAUGAACAGGGUGAUCUUGGUGGAGGAAUUCAAGGUCGCUUUGCCGGUGAACCAGUUGGAAAACGAUUUUGUGACUGCGACUGAGUUGGAGAACCGAGUGACCGAGUUGAUGAAUUCCGACAAAGGAAAAGCGUUGAGAGACCGAGUUAUAGCCAUGAGAGAUGGUGCCAAGGCGGCCAUGAGAGAGGACGGAUCAUCUCGGCUUGCACUAGCCAAGUUGGUUGAGUUAAUUACACGAGCUCCACCGACUUGAAAAACUUUAACUCAGUUGUAAUUAAAUUUGUUAAUUACAAUUAUAUUUAAAACAAAUUACAACUUUACCAAAUUAUAUUUAAAUCUACUUUGGUUUGUGGGCCUGGCUGGCCUUAGUCGCUGAAAGCCUCCAGGAUGGACUGGGUCCAGCACUGCCUGCCUGACUGGUCUGGCCUGACCCAAGAAUAUGUUCGGCCCAUCCCACGAGCAGCCGCAAACACCUACCUAUUUGGGAAUAUUUUCCAAAAUGAUUUUUGAAAAAUAAUUUAUGAGAACAGUUGUUGAAAAUAUGUAUCAAUUAUUUUUAGGAAUAAAAUUUUAUUGAAAACACUCAAAUAUAAAAAACAGAUUUUUGACUUAUUUUUCAUAGAAGUAUUGAUUUGCUUCAAGAAUUGUUAGUUUUACAAGAGUAAUUAACUCAUUGCCAAGUUAUUUUUUGUGUUAAUCAUCACCUUUAAUCACCUAUUUAAAUCACUUGGGUUGUUUGGUAAUUUAAUAUAAUAUUUUUAGUGGUUUGAAAGGUAAAGAUGGCAACGGAUGCCAAUUUAAUAAUGCAAGAUAAUGGAAGAUUAGGAAAAUAGAAAACCUGAAAAAACAAACGUUUGUACCCAUUAGGGUAAGAGUAUCUAUUGACAAUAAUUUUAGAAAGUAUUUUUAGUUUUUUUUUAAUAUUUAAAAAUUUUUAUUUUUCAAUUAUAAAAAAUAUUAUAAAUAUUUUAUAAAAUCCUUAUCAAAUACACUCUAUGAUUACCACUUAAAGGGGAGCAUGCCCGGUGUGGCAUGCCCAUCACCAAUUUUCAAAGUCAAAGCUUAUUUGGGGGUUCAUUUCUAUUUUUCAAUGCAUUAUGCAUUGCAUCCCAUAGAAUGACCUUGUAAUUCUCUCCUAGUGAUUAAUCCCUUUGUUUUUACCAACCCAAAUUUUAUUUCUUUUCCCUUUCCUAUCUACAACCCGGUUCGUGAAAAAUUUGAGGAAAAAUAUAAAUAAAAGAAAAUACAAAGAAAAAGUAGAACGAAAGAAAAAAUGAAGAAAAAUAAAAAAUAGAUUAAAAAUCGAUAAAUUAUUUUUAUUUGUUACUUUAAACUUAUUUUACUUAUUUUAACUCAUCAAUAUAAAGAUUAAAUAAUUUAAAAUAUAUAAAUUUUUAAUUAAUUUUAAUUAUAUUUGAUAUUUUUUUAUAAGAAAACAAAAUAUGAGAAAAUAAUUUUUCUUUAUAUAUAUAUAUAUAUAUAUAUUUUUCUUAGUAUUUUUUGGUAACCAAACAUAUUAAAGUGAAUUCCUACUCUUCUUCCACAAUCAACUAACGGAAUCAAAUUAUGACUUGCAAGUAGCAACUCUUCACUUUGGGUGGACACUAUACAAUAUCCUAUUUCAAGCACAUUCUACAAAUUAAUAUAUGAUACAAAAACUUUUCAAAAUUCUCCAUAUUUUCAAUUGUUACUCCAGACCCAUUAUGAAAAACAGUCAAAAGUAACUUUUAAAAAAUUACUUGUUUUUAGAAUAAAUUCAUAAAAAAAAUAAAAAUAAAAAAUUUAUUUCUAUUUAAAAAUUUAUUUCUAAAUUAAACCAGUCUAGGCUUUAAGAAGUAAUUAAUGUAGCAUUGUUUCUACCCAGCUGCAGGAGAGUUGGAACCCCAAAGAGGUGACAAGCUAGCAACACACCAAAGGGCCAUUUUCUCAAAAGAGAGACAGCUCAUUUAUGCUAGUUUGGCCCAUUCCUACUCGACUUUUGGGGUUUUUUUUUAAUAACUUAUACGGCAAUUUUAAAAGUAAUUCUUUAAAAAUGGCAAUUAGAAAAAUAUUGAUAGAUAUACGACACUUUCGUAAAAUAAAAUAUGUUUUUUGAAGAGACAUCUUUCAUCAUUUUCAAAUAUCUAAUAUUCACUUAGAAAAAUUGAAUUUAAACUAAAAGUGUUUAUUUAAGAGACAUUUUUUAGAAUUCUAAAAAAUUGGAUUUAUACUAAAAGUAUAUUUUGAAAAGACACUUUCCACAAUUUUAUAAAAUUCAAUGUAUACUAAUUUUUUUGAAAAUGUGUCUCUUGAAUAAACAUAUUUCAUAAUUUCACAAAUUUUAAUUUAUACUACAAGUGUCUCUUGAAUUUGAUUUUAUAUUGAAAGAGACAUCUUCUACAAUUCAAAAAAAAAAAAAUGAAUUUAUAUUAAAGGUAUCUCUUUAAAAAAUAUUUUUUCAUAAUUCCACAAAUUCCAAUAUAUACUAAAGGUGUCUUAAAUUUUAAUUUUAUUUUUAAUUUUCACAUUCAACAAUUUUACAAAUUUUAAUUUUAUAUUAUAAGUGUUUCUUAGAUUUUAAUUUAUAUAAAAAGUAUCUUUUAAAGAAAUACCUUUAGUAUAUAUUAGAUUUUGUGGAAUUGUAGAAGGUGUUUUUUUAAGAGACACCUUUACUAUAAAUCAUUUUUUUUUUUUUUAAUUGUAGAAAGUAUUUACCUUCAAUAUAAAAUCAAAAUUAAGAGACAAUUGUAGUAUAAAUUAAAAUUUGUGAAAUUAUGAAAGGUGUAGAGACACCUUUGGUAUAUAUUGGAUUUUUUUUGAAUUGUGGAAAGUGUCCCUUCAAAAGACACCUUCUAUUAAAAUUAAAUUUAGGAGACACUUAUAGUAUAAAUUACAAUUUUUGAAAAUGUAGAAGAUUUCUCUUCAAGAGAUACCUUUUAUAUAAAAUUAAAUUUAGGAGACACUUGUAAUAUAAUUUAAAAUUGAUGAAAUUGUGAAAGGUAUAUCUUCAAAAAACACAUUUUAAGUAUAUAUUAGAUUUUGUGAAAUUAUAAAAAUUGUCUUUUCAAAAAGACAUCUUUUACUAUAAAUCAAAUAUUUUAGAAUUGUAAAAAGUGUUUCUUGAAAUACUUUUAGUUUAAAUUCAAUUCUUUUAAGUGUAUAUUGUAAAUUUAAAAAUUAUGAAAGAUAUCUUUUGAAGGGAUAUCUUUAAUAUAAAAUCAUAUUCAAGAGAUAUGAAAAUAGGUUGUAUGAAAAAAGUUAAAAUAUAAUUUUUUUUCCACCUCUCUCUUAUAUAUUCAAAAAGUUUUAUAUAUUCAAAAAGUGUCCGUAAAAUUGGAAUUAUUUUCCUAUUUACGGUAUUUUAUAAAAUAAUUUUUUAAAAGUCCGUACAUUUAUCAAAAACCCAACUUUUUGGGUAUGGCAUUGAAUAUGCCUUUCCUACAAAUAUUCUGUCUCAAACCUCUUAGCAGUGCCAAAGCUCUGUUACAUCAAACCCUAAUCUUUAACAUAAUUUUGUUUGUCAAAUUAUUGUCACUUUUUUGCCUGAUUUGAAUGGAGGGUAUACUUGUUCUCUCUGUGAAAGGGAAGUUGAUAUUUUGAGCGGCCAUGACUGAUUUUUCUUCCUUCCUUUGAUUUCUUCUUUACGUCCUUUUCAUUAUCUUCCGGAUGUGCGUAUAGAUGUUGAUAUGGCAUCCUUGAAAACAAACCAUCUCCACAAACUAUUCCCUUUCCACAACCAACCCCCUCUGCUCUCCGGCCCUCUCAGCAAUGGAGAGUGUAGUAGUAUUGUAUCCAUCGCCAGGGAUGGGUCACCUGGUCUCAAUGGUGGAGCUUGGAAAGCUUAUAUUGAAACACCAUCCUUCAUUCUCCAUCAUCAUCUUCAUCGUAACCCCACCUUACAACACUGGCUCUACCGCUCCUUACAUCGCCCGCGUCUCCUCUUCCACUCCUUCCAUCACCUUCCACCACCUCCCCACCAUCUCUCUCCCUCUCGAUUCUUUCUCCUCGCCCAACCAUGAAACCCUUACUUUCGAGCUCCUCCACCUCAACAACCAUAACGUCCACCAGGCCCUUGUGUCCAUCUCCAACAAUUCAACUGUCAGUGCCCUUAUCAUCGACUUCUUCUGCACUUCUGCUCUUUCCGUCGCUAAUGAACUCAGCAUCUCAUGCUAUUAUUUCUUCACCUCCGGUGCUAAUUGCCUGGCUUGCUUUGCUUAUUUGCACACUAUUCACCAGAAUACCUCCAAAAGCUUCAAAGAACUCAACACCCACAUUCAUAUCCCAGGUCUACCGCCGAUACCAGCCUCUGACAUGGCGAAACCAAUACUUGACAGAACAGAUAAGGCCUAUGAGUUCUUCCUAGACAUGUCCUUCCACUUGCCCAAAUCAGCUGGAAUCAUUGUGAACACAUUUGAAGUGCUGGAAGCCAGAGCCUUGAAAGCGAUCUCGGAUGGACUUUGUGACCCACAGAGUCCAACCCCACCGAUUUUCUGUAUUGGACCAUUGAUCGCAGCUGAUGAUCGUCUCGGCGGUGACAUGCCCGAGUGUCUGACAUGGCUCGACUCACAGCCGAAGCGCAGUGUCUUGUUCCUGUGUUUUGGUAGCCUAGGCGUAUUCUCAGCAGAACAGUUGAAGGAAAUAGCGAUUGGGUUGGAGAGGAGUGGGCAGAGGUUCUUGUGGGUGGUCCGCAGUCCACCAAAUGAGGACCAAAGCAAGCGCUUCUUAGCACCACCAGACCCAGAUUUGGAUUUGCUCCUCCCAGACGGGUUCUUGGAUCGAACCAAGGAGAGGGGCCUAGUGGUGAAGUCAUGGGCACCUCAAGUGGCAGUUUUGAAUCAUGAAUCAGUAGGCGGGUUUGUAACUCACUGUGGGUGGAACUCUUUGCUUGAAGCCUUAUGUGCGGGCGUACCAAUGGUAGCGUGGCCACUAUAUGCCGAGCAAAGAUUUAAUAGGGUCAUACUAGUUGAGGAGAUGAAGCUAGCGUUGCCAAUGGAAGAGUUGGAAGAUGGGUUUGUGAAGGCAAGCGAGAUUGAGAAGCGAGCUAGACAGCUGAUGGAAUCAGAGGAAGGAAAGUCGAUUAGGAAUCAGAUCAUGGUAAUGAAAGAAGCUGCUGAGGCUGCAAUGAGCGAUGGUGGAUCAUCUCGCGUUGCAUUAAUGAAAUUGGUCCAAUCGUGGAAUUGAAGACAAGAUGAUUCUUAUUCUUAUUUUAUCUCAUUUAUUUAUGCCCAUAGAUGUCAUCAUUCAUGUUCAACGGUUGGGAAUUUUUUUUUCUUUUCUUCCUGUCAAUCUUGGCAUUAGUAGAUCGAAGCUACGUGAAGGUCUCGCAGGAUCAUUAAUAGGCUGUCUGUCUCCAUACUUGUUUGGUCCUUACCCUUUUAGUCGUCUAUAGACUUUAUUGAGUUAUGUAUUGGAAAAUAUCGAUAAAAGAAAAUGUUUAUAAACGAAAAUUAAUUAAAACUUAAAAAAAAAUAGCAAAAAUAAUAAUAUAUUCAUUGAGUUAUUUUAAGAAAGAAAUUGAUAUAUUUAUGAUAAAUCUAUAAAAUUAAACAAUAAUAUAUUGAAUUUAAAAAUAUGAUAAUAUUAAAAUGAGAAUGUAUUUAGUGUUUUUUUAUUUAAAAAUGUUGAAAAUUUUAUUUAUAAAUUUAUAAUUUUUCUUGUUUUUAAUUAUUAUAUAAUGUACAUAAUAAUAUAAUUAAAAUUAACUUAUUUAUAAAUAAUUUACUUUAAUUAAUUUUCAAAAAUAAUUUUUUCUAGUUUAUAGCUAAACACUAGUGAUUGUCUUUAAAAAAAUAUAAAUGAAAGUACUACUACUAAAAAUGCUACCGGCAAAAGAGGUUUUUUUUUUUAACUUGUACGGCUAUUUUAAAAAUAAUUCUUAAAAAAUGGUACUUUUUAAAAAAAUUCUUAAAAUAUGAUAUUUACAAAAAUAUUUUUAAAUUGAAUUUAUGUUAAAUGUGUCUCUUCAAAAGACAUUUUCUCAUCAUUUUUUUUAUUAAUCAUACAUGAGAAAAAAAAUUGAAUUUAUACUAAAGAAAUAUUUUUUUUCACAAUACCAUAAAAUCAAAUUUAUACUAAAGGUGACUCUUAAAAAGACAUUUUUGAUAAUUUUUAUAUCAGUCGAUCACACAAUAAAAAAAAUUUGAAUUUACAUUAAAGACGCCUCUACAAUUCCACAAAAUUGAAUUUAUACUAAAUGUGUCUUUUGAAUAAACACUUUUCAUAAUUUUUAUAUUAGUCACUUAUCGAAAAAAUUAAAUUUAUACUAAAAGUGUCUUUUGAAGAAAAACAUUUCAAUAUAAAUUUAAGUUUAUGAAAUUAUGAAAGAUAUAUUUUAAAAAUACACUUUUAGUAUAAAUUCAAUUAUUUCAAUGGAUGACUGAUACAAGAAUUGUUAAAAGUGUUUUUUCAAGAGACACCUUUAUUAUAAAUUUAAUUUUGUGAAAUUAUAAAAAAUAUGUUUUAAGAGACAUCUUUAAUAUAAAUUCAAUUUCUUUACUAUGCAACUAAUAUGAAAAUCAUGAAAAUGUCUCUCUUGAAGAAACACAUUUAAUAUAAAUUUAAAUUUUUUUAACAUAUGUUAUUGAUAUAAGAAUUGUGGAGAAAAAAACAUCUUCAAUGUAAAUUCAAUUUUUUUGAACGUGUAUUAUUGAUAUAAAAAUGAUGGAAGGUGUCUUUUCAAGAGACACCUUUCAAAAGUGAUAAAAAGUACCGUAGAUUUGAAAAUACUUUUCAUUGUACUCUAUUUAAAAAAAUUAAUUUUAAAUUUAUAAUCCGGGCAAAAGUGCAUUUAUCAAAAUCACUUUCAACGGCUUCUUUCAGCUCACAUAAUGGGCGACUGACUAGUUUUGAAGUAGGGGGAAAGUCAUUGUGAAGGAAGCCCAAAGCCCAUUGGGUUUAAAAUUGGGCUUCAAAAAUCUAAAUCUGGGCUCAACUAAUUGGUUUCGUCCAUUCAAUAAAUGGGCUGAUCAAAACCAACAACAGAGGGUUAAGAACUUUCUUCAUCCAGACGAGCAACCAGCAACCUUUACUCCGAAAAAUAAAGAACUUAUUACUGCCUCCUUUUAUUCACAUUAAUGUAAGCUUUAUUAGCUUUCACACAAUCUUCAAAGUUAUUAAUCAUCACUUUAAAAUUAUUAACAGUGUUGAUAGCUUCUCAAGAUGACUCUCAAUACUAAUUAUUUUGAAAAAUUAUGGCACGACAUCUAAGAUAAUUGUAGAAAUUAAGGUAAAAAGGAGAUCAUGCAUGGUUGUUCAUGGAAGAAGCCAAAUGCAUCCUAUUUUAUUCAGAACAGGCCAAAUCAUGGGGUGUUAGUUAAAUUCUUAAUCCUGUGCCCUUCCCAAAGGAAGCUGAGGCAUCUAUGAUCAAGCCACAAUAAAAAAUUUAAGUAUUCUGAUCCCUCUGAAGUACAAUUUUUUUUUUUUUUUUUGGAUCCCCCAAAUAAAUUUCUGGUUUGAUCACUGGUUCUUAAUGGUGAGAACAUGCAUGGCUCUAUUGUAUGGGAAAAUUCAUAAGAUUUUGCAAGGUAAUAUCACAUCAAUAAAAAGAUUAGAGUUUUGACGUUUAUUAGAUUCUAGUUGAUACUCAUAGAGUAGGGACUCUUUUCUUCUAAUGAUUCAACAAUUUAAAGGAUCGGGUAGUAUAGAUUAAGGAAAGUCGUGAUACAAUUAUUUUAUGGAAGGUUUUGGGAAUUUUUCCAAGAAAAAAAAUGGAAAGUAGACAUGACACCAACCAGUUCACGUGUUGACAGAAGAGAAACCCGUGACCAUGCACUGAUUAGGUUGAAGGAAGCAAACAAAUGAAGCAAUAUUACGCUAUCCGACAUGCCUUAUGGAAAUGACUAGGAUACCUUGGAUUUUUCACCCCUUUGGAUCAAAGGAUAGAGACCCGUGAACUUCAGGUCAAUCCAAAAGCCUGGUUGGCCUCUCAUCUCCAUUAUCUUCAAUCUUAACUCGCCUUCCCAACCUUCAUAAAAUGAUUUCAAUGGUUUUGGAGGACCCAUGUGAGUGGUUUGAGGGUUUCUUGCCAUGCUCUCUUUCAAAUGUGGCCCAAUGGUAGGAUUUGACGUUUCAUUAUGUAGGUCUUCGAAUCAAAUUCAUUGAACAGUUUCUGUGAAAGUAACAAUUCAUAAGUAUUUAUACCAUGCUUUUGUUGUGAUGACACAUAGGCUUUUGUUACGUCCAAUAAACUUGUCUAAAAAAAAGUUAGUUUAGAAAUGAAACCAGUCUAUUGGUGGGAUGGGCAGAGUAGAGAGUGAAAACAAUGCAAACCCAUGAACAAAACUAGCUUUAUUCACGCUAUUUUCAAUUUAUUAUAUGAUAGACCAAAUGAAGCUUCAGAAUGCAACACAUGAGCUUGAGUUUUGACACCAAAAUGAAAAUGGAAACUUACAUUUAACUUUAAGACAAUGAGUAAAUAGAAAUCACAUGAUUUAGCCAUGGCUUCAAUUCUUUGAUCUUCGAACCCUCCUGAUCAAAACCAGAAAGCAAAGCACACGAUAGAAGAAAAAGAAUCCAAUCAACAUGUAGAUGUUGGUCCAUCUCUGCCUCUCAUGGAGCCCUUUCUUCUGCAGCACAUCACGCCCAGUCGCCAUACAUGUCUUGUUCUCUUCGUACCAUAACAAACACCUUGAAACAAGGCAUGAGUACUCAUUGAUGAGGAAGGCAUCCAAGGCAUAUUUGUACAUGGAGAAGAAGUGCAUGAACAGCCAGUACUUGGGCAUGCUGUCUUUUGAGAUGAAGUAGCCGGAGAAGAGAAAGAAAGCGCCCAGAAAUAUUGUGACUAGUGAUGUUCCGGCGAUGUAGUUUGGAGCUACCGAACUCAGGAAGAGAACAAAUGAAUUUGCCAUGAGGACUAUUACCCAUAUCACCAAAACAAAGUAGGCAAAAGCUUGCCAUGUAGCACAGAGACCCACUAAGAAGUAUACGGAGACUGAGUAAAUGAUGGCGAUGGCCAGCAAGUAUGGCAAGAAAACCAAUGUGUUUGCGAUGAGAUAUGACGAGAGCCUGUACACCCCACUUGAAGUUUCCCUGAGUAGAAUUGGCCUUUCAUUGAUGAAAAUUGGGAGAGUUUCGGUUGUUGAAGAGAGGAGGAAGGUGAGAGUGAAGGCAAAGAGGCCUAAUCGCUUCUCCAUUCCUUGCUUGUCGAAUCCAAUGUUGAUGUAAAUGGUUCCUAGAACAAGGCCCACACCAAGAGCUUCCAAUGCGUUCACGAGGAGAAGCUGUCUGGUUCUGUAAACGAUCUUCCAAAACCUGUUGUACAAAGCGAGUACUUCAUGGAGUCUUGAGCUCCUAUAUCUGAUCAUUGAUCCGCUAUGAUUAGAAGGAGAAAUUUCAGGAAUUUCUGGUGAUGGAGGAAGUGAUGGUGGUGUAAGGGGUUUAUGCUCAUGGAGUUGGCUCAGUAUUUCCAUAGCGUAUUCAAGGGAAUUGAGCUGCGAAGGAACAGUGAAGCCAUGGGAGAGUAAGAACGUUUCAAGUGAAGAAAGAGUUCCAUGGUGGAUAACAGUUCCUUUUGAGAGCAAAAGGACUUUAUCAAUGGUGGAAAGGAUCUUGAAACUAGGUUGAUGAAUGGACAAGAUCACAGUGCGGUGGCGUGAUUGCGCAAUCGACUGCAGGGUCUGCAUCACAUUGAAAGCCGAAUUGCUGUCAAGCCCAGAUGUUGGCUCAUCAAGAAGCAACACGGCAGGGUCAUGGAGAAGGCUGAGGCCUAUAGAGACUCGUCGACGCUCACCGCCAGAUAGCCCAUGGGCGAGCCUGGUAUGUGCUAGGUGAGUUAGCCUGAGCUCACUGAGAAGAGAGGCUACUAUGAUGGCAAUUUUGGAAGAUUUGGGAACAAGGAGGCUGGCUGCGAAGGCAAAAGUUUCAGAAACAGUAAGCUGGGGUAAGCAUGCAUCAUGUUGAGGUACAUAAGCUGAGAGCUUCCUGAAUGAAGAACGGUUGAGAGGGGAAGAAUUGAGAAGGAGAGAGCCACUUGUAGGCGAGGUUCGAGCAGCUAAAAUGUCGAGAAGGGUGGACUUCCCUGCUCCACUUGGGCCAACAAUAGCGAGAACUUGAGAUGGAUAAGCAGUCAGGCAGAUGUCCCGGAGAAUGUAGGUUGGUGGAGUUGUAGUGCAGGGUUGGAAGAGGAAGGUGGGGACAAUGGUGUAGUUAUUGGUGGUUGGUUUGGUGUAAGAGAUUGAAGAGGCUGUUAUUCUAUAAGUUUUGUGUGGUGGGGGUGGUAAUGAAGAGUGGUCUUCCAUGGAGGAGGUGGUGGAGAUGGGUGGAGGAAGAGAGGUUUUGGUUCAGAGAGAGAGGUGUUGAGGGAUAUGUUGGUGACAGUUUCCAUGAGUUUGAAGAGUAUAAUGCUGGUGGAGGAUAAGUAGUUUGAGAAUUAAAAAGUUUAGGUGCCCAAGCAGUUAUAUUAAAUUGGAGUUUUAUAAUACUGAUAUAACACCUAGCUAAAAAAAUUAACAAAUGCUACUGUAUUUUCAGCUAUGUUUUCAUCAGAAAAACACCAUGCAUUAAUGAAAUUAACCAAAGACUUGUGGAAAUAAAAAGAGUAGAAGAUUGAGUUUAGACUGAGCUCACAAAGUGGCAAAGAGAAGUACCUUUCAAGUUAUAAGGUUUAUUUCACUUUUUCACAAGUAGAAUCUGUAUUCUAGUCCAUUUUGAACUAUUUUGUGCUCCAUUAUGAGCCAAGCAGAUCUCCUCCUCCAUCACUACACGCCCCUAUAGAAUCAAAAUACCACUCCACAGAGAAAUGCUAUUUACUCUGAAUGACCAAAUCUUCAUCCUUGAACUUCACCAAGAGAACAACCCAUUCUCAACAGAAAUUCAUAUGCUUCUUUUCAUUGAUGUGUACGAUAUAAGUUCCACAAGUUUUGUUCAAUAAAGGGCAUGUGCUGAAGCCAUAUGCAGGCAUUAAAUAGGGUUCAUAUUCAGCAAACUCUAUGGACUUGUGAAAUAUAAGAUUGGGAUUCAUCUCAAAUAAACUCCAGCAUUUGGGUUUCGGUACCCUCAUUAAAUAUAUUAAAUUUGUGGCCCUGUUGGAUGAAUAAGAAGCACAAACUUGUAGAUCAUAUGUUUCUGCUGAUUGGAUGAACAUGGAAUUGACAGCAUGUGCAAUAUUCUCUUUUGAUUGAUGCUGGUAGGUUAAAGGUCAGUGUCCAAAAUGGAAAAGGCAGCUAAAUAUAUAUGACCAAAUCCAACAUCGCAGCUAACAUUAAUUCACCCAUGACUAUUGGCCAGAGCCAAUUGAAUGGAUCCUCUAUUUCGUUAGGGUGGUGAAUCUAAAUCUUGGGGAGUUUAGUAAGGGAGGAUCAUGUGAACCAGCAUAUAUUAAAUUUAAUUCAGCGAUGGUUGACAGAAAUAUGCUAGUGGGAAGUGAUUGGAUUGAUUGGAAUUUGUUAGGAAGAUGGAAAAAGAGGAGAAGAAUCCAAGCAAUUCACGAGUUCACUGUUGUCCAUUUCUCUCAUGUAUCUGUCUGUACGUUGAUAAAAGCAUUGGGGCCAGAAAGGCAGGCUAGCCACACUUGACGACGAACUUUGCAUUUAAUAGUAAGCCAUCCGUGAUUCUUCCCUCCAUACGUAUGGUACAGUACUAGUUGCAUCACACAUAGCACAGGAUAAUGAGCCUUGGAUCAGUAGAGAGUCAAUACCUACUUCGCUAUUGAAAUAGGUAUCAGCAACUACUACUGGAUUGACUCUCUCGCACAAGUAGGUAUCACUCACUCUCUCUCUCUCUCUCUCUCUCUCUCACAUACAUAUAUUUUCAAGCGACCCUUUUAUUAGGGUGGUUCCCAGUUGCCUUGGACCUACAAACUUACUUUUCAAAGACCAAAAUGGAUUAGUGAGGUGUAUUCGUUACUUCAUCAAUAUAUGCAUGAGGACAGUAUAUGGUCCAUAAAAUAAAAGCAUGCAUGCAUGCUGCUGUCUGACCCUGGCCGCAUUCAUAUACAUACAUCUGUUGUAAGUGUUGUGUUCUUUUGUACAUAUAUAUCUUGAAUGGAAAAUUAGAUGGUUCAUGAUUCAUGUAGUACUGCAGAUUUGAGAUCGUGGUUGUAUAACUUCCAAGUAAUGAAUAGCAUAAUUUAUAGAAUGUAACACAAAAAAGUUCAAAUCUGUGUAUUAGAGUAAAAGAGGCAGGCAUUGACAGUCUGAUUCAUUGAAGAUGGAAGUACAACUUAUGUUAUUGAUUAGGGAUGACAAUAGGGUGGGUAUGGGAUGGGCCACCCCUACCCCAUUUCCAUCCCAGUUAUAUAUUUUUUUUCUCAUCCCCAUCCCAAACCCGGGGCGGGGUGAGUUGGUGUCCCUCAUACCCAUUUACAAAAGAGCUGAUAAUCUCAUCCCCGUCCCAAAUGUGUUUCCUGGAAUUAUGAAACAUGGGUCUUUGGAAUUUCAAUAAAUGCUAUCUAGGUCUUCUCAUCCACAUUUAAUCAAGCAUUUGUUGUGUAACAAAAUUGCAAACUACACAUACGAGAACAAAAUGCACAAAUCUACAAAUAAACAACAAAAAAAAAUCUCAAAUCCAUCAACUAAAACCAGAAAAUAUGAAAAACAAGACAUUUCUAACAAAGCCUCAAAACUUAGGGUUUUCUUACCUAGAAAUGAGGAAUCCAUAGAAACCCUAAUAAUUUAUUAUCUAUGAAUUUUGUAUUCUAGUUUUUAGAGCAAAAAUUGUGCUUUUAGGGUGAAAUGAGAAGAAACAAUUUAGGAAGAAACGAGAAAACGAAAGCCCUCUUAUGAGCAAAAGAACCUUGAGCAAUUUAGGAAGAAAUGAGAAAACGGGAAGAAGUGAAAACGAAAGCCCUCUGACUCUCUUAUGAGCGAAAGAACCCUAAAACUUUAGGAAGAAAUGAUUAUAUAUGGAUGACUUUUUGAGUAUUUUGUAAUGACAUAAUGAUAAAUUGGUAAUUCACAUACGGGACGGUGCGGAAAUUGCAAAACCCAUCCCCGCCCUAAACCCAAUUCGGGUUUUUACAUAUUCCUAAAACCCGUUCUAUCCCCGAAUAGGAUAUUCCCAUACCCGUCCCAAUAGGGGCGGGGUGGGAUGGGUGACCUGAAUUACCUGUAGUACUAACUUUGCCCAUUUACACCUUUUUUUUAAAAAUAUUUUUAUAAGGAAAGUUUCUUACUUUAAAAUUGAGGUUGAUAAAAAGACAAAUACAACAUUGAUUUUUGGGAAGGAGAUUCUCUAUCAAUCCCCAUUUUUCCAUUAAUAGCAAUUUUCAUUUUUGUUCCUCAUUGAAAAAUUAUAAAAUAUUUGAAGUGUCUUAAUCUUUAACCUCAUGCCUAUCCCUCCUGAAAUCUAUCAUGAUCGUCAUUUGUGGAUUUAGCUAGGGCAAUACACUAACAGAUGGGCCAAACAUUGCUUCUUGGCUUGUAUUUGUCCCCUUGAAAUUAACCUCUAUCCUAUUGCCUCCUGCGUCUUAUUUGUAGCUCCACCCCUACUAGUCGUGAUCGUGUUCGCUUCCUCAUGAUAUAAUAUUUGCACAAAAUUUAAGGAGACUUUCCUAUCUGUGUGGCAUUACUAGAAGGGGUAAAAUUAUCAGAAUGUUUGAAGAUUUAAAAACAUGGCCGGGUUUCUUCUUAGGCCGAGGCUUUGGGCUUUCUUGGAAAACAAACUCACACAUAUGAACUAAGUGAAAAUUGGAAACGGCCCAGUACAUGUUGAAUCCAACCCAAGAAGUGAACCCAGCACAAGCCCAGAUACAGGCCCACAAGUAUCUCCGGGAAAGAGGUGCUGGGUUCAUUUGAACCAAGCUCAAAUUUUAAAUUAAUUUGCUUCCAUUUGUAUUACUACUACUGUUUAGAAUCAAAUUAUAAAGAACAUGGGCCAGUUUGAAAACGUUUUCCAGAGAAGUUUUCAAAAAAAUAGUUUUCGAAAAUAUUUUUUAAAAACAAUUCUCUAAUGUUUUCUGACAACUUUGAAUGUUCUCAACUUAUUUUUCGUAUCUUCAAACAUUUUUUAAAAAAAAAAACAAAGAACGAGCAAUUUUAUUCAUGUACCUAUGUUUCAUAUGAGAAACACCAUGUGAAGCAAGUAACUCAUAGAAUGCAUUGGAAGUAUACUCCCCACCUAAAAAAGAGAAGGCUAUUUUUGCAUUGUUCUAUUCAAGAUCUUAGGAUAGUGAGCCUACCAGUGACUCUUCUACUUACAGUAUCUACGUUCAUCCAUGGGAACCUUUGGGUAAGGUUUGUUCUAUUGUUGGAAGAUGACCUAGAAGGUAUUGUCAAAAUAGAUGUAUAAGAUGUGACAAGAAUUCCUUGUCCUAUUUGAGACUUAGGACAUAUCCCUUCAUCCAACGAUUCACUAAUCAUUGAAUCAAUAGAGGGAAGUAGGCUACAAUGCAAAAUUAUCCCAUGCAAUGCCUUAAAAUCACUAUGAAUGACCAUAAAAAAUUGAACUAAUCAUUAUUACUCUCUAUGGAUGAUAUAAGGCACAAAAGCUUGGAUCUCUACAGAUUCCAUGAGAGUCAAUUGAUCUUAAAGAUCAAUCAUAAUGAAAUAAAAUUCCUAAAUACUCAUAUUCUUCUAUCAAAGGGCCGGCUUGAAUAUUUGUCUAAUUGAUACUGUUUAGCAAAAUUAUAUUGCUUAUAUAACCAUUCCAAAUGCUCCAGAUCUCCUUUUCAAUUUCAUACUUUGUUAGUUAUAUACCUAUCAAAUUCUCAAUAGGGUUUGUUGAUCUACGUGAUGUUUUUCAUUUUCUUCAUUCUUAAGUUUGCAUAAAUUUUUAAUAAUAUAACAUCACAUCUUUUUGCCCUCCAAAAAAAUUUUCAUCACAUAAUUCCAAUACAAAUAAUUUUUUUCAUUCAAUUUCACACGAUAGAAGGAAAUCAUUUAUUUUGCCAAUCAUAAUGACUAGUCAACAAAUAACUACCAAAUAAAAGGAAACAUGUAAGAACUAAAGAAAACAAAUGCAAAAUCAAAUACCAAGAUUCAACAGGAAAAACAAUGUGAUCACCUAUGGCAAAUAUCUAUGAUUAGACACAAUGAAAAAAUCAAUUAUGAUGUGAUACCAUGUGAAAUUCAAAUAAUCAUAGGGGGAAAAGAGAAAAUAAAAUCUACAGUUUCAUAUUCUAACCACUUGAAAAUUAGGAAAAAUACAAUUAGAAUAUAAAUAGCUUUACAAUCAAAAGAAAUAAAAGACAAAAAAUGACUAAUUUAUCCUUACUUCUAAAAAAAAGAUAUUAACUCUAAGUAUAAGAAACAAAUAACUCUAAUAAAUAUUUCUAACAAUAUAUUCAUAAGGUCCAAUUUUUUAGAAAUAGAAAAUUUUAGAAAACUCUCCUUAUAACCUUUAAAAUAAUCCCCUCUUUUUAAAAUCCACUUCAGAAUACAACAAAAUUAAGGAAUGAUUCAAAAACACUAUAAUUGAUUUUUAGAUUACCUGAUAAAACUAUUAGGCAAAUCUAAGUACUUUGACAUCAUAUCGUGGAUUAUUAUAUUAGAGAUCUUAGAUCCCAUGAUUUUUUUUCUUCAUAAUUUGUGUCCGAGUUUUUCACAUAAAAUUGAUUGUCUUGUAUGUAAUCGUGAUUUUAUUGUUUAUUCAUAUUCUUAUACAUGAUUCAAUUGAUUUAAAAUGACUUAGAUCUCUCUCAUAAAUUAAAUUAGGUAAAGAACUUCUUCAAUUCACAAAUUAAAAUUCUUUAUUUUCACUCUUAUACCCCUUUGGGUGUUACCCUACUAAUACAAACAUUUUUCAAAAAUGUUAUUUGAUAUUUUCUCAAUUUUAUUAUUGCUCUAUAAAAAUAACUUCUACUUUAAUUAUUUUUAAAAUUUAUUUAUUUUUUCAUUUUUUUUAGACAGAGUACCAUAUAUAUUUAAAAACAAUUUUUAGUUUAAUAACAACCUGUUUGAUCUUCAUAUUUCUUGAGUUUUACUUCUCUAAUAACACAUUUGUUGGGAUAAUCCUCUUAAGCAACUUUUGAUUAAUGUGGGUGCAUGCCCCAUUAUUGGUUUGUUGAAAGCAAGAACUAUAAAGCUAUGAACUCACCCAAAUCUGGAAUAACAUCCCCAGUUUUAUUAAACUCUUACUGGUGGCUUAUAUAACCUUACAAGAUAAGGAAUUAGAAAAACAUUGCAACCUAGGUCUUAUACCUAAAGACAUGGUAUUAGUUACUGAAAUAGUCAAAACCUAUCUACUGGUUCCUAACUAAUAGGAACUUAUUAACAGAACUUUGACAAAGCCAAACCUUAACAAAAACAAAUAAAUCCCAACAAUAAUUCAUCCCCUAAAUUGAAGCAAUACGCAUUCAGUUUAAGUUUGGUACCUCACAUACCCCAAGUUUCUCACGCAAAUUCAAGAACACUUCAAGCUUCAGUGGCUUUGUCAGGAUAUCAACCACUUGAUCAUUGGUGCCACAAUGAACCAACUUCACCACUUCCUCCUUAGUGAGAUCCCUCAAGAAAUGGAACCUCACAUCUAUAUGCUUGCUCCUACCAUGCAUAACCAGAUUCUUAGAUAGCUUGAUCGUUGAAUUGUUGUCACUCAUAAUAGUAGUACACUUACUUUGUGAGUGCCUAAUCUUUUCUAACACUCUCCUCAUCCAUAUACAUUGACAAGCACAGAAAGCUGCUGCCACAAAUUUUGCUUCAGUGGUAGACAGAGUCACCACUGGUUGUUUUUUUUAGGCCCAAGAAACUACUCUACCACUCAAUAAAAACACAUAACCAGAUGUGUUUUUCCUAUCAUCAGUGUCUCCAGCAAAAUCGUUGUCAGUGUAAGCCAAUAGUUCUCCAAUAUCUUCUCAUCUCUUAUAAAACACACCCAACUCCACAGUUCCCUUUAAAUAACGAAGAACUCUCUUUGCUGCUUGCAUAUGUAGGCCAGUAGGAUUGGCCAUAUACCUGCUUAAGAGACAUACUACGUACAUUAAAUCAGGUCUUGUAGUAGUAAUGUACACGAGACUCCCAAUUAAUUGCUUAUAAACUAUAGCAUCAAUCCUAGCACCUUCUCCUUCCUCUAAUAGCUUGAAAUCGGGCACAAUAGUAUUCUUCACCGAAUUGGCAUUUUGUAAACCAAACUUCUCAAGUAAUUCACAAGCAUACUUCUUUUGACUUAAGUAGAUACCCUCUAAAGUUUGCAAAACCUCAACACCAAGGAAGUACUUCAUCUUCCCUAAAUCCAUCAUAUCAAACUCAUCCUUCAUGGAACUCUUGAAGCUUUCAAACAUGCAUGCAUCAUUCCCAGUAAAGAUUAAGUCAUCCACAUACAAACUCACAAUUAAGAACCUCUUACCUCCUUCUUCUAUUUUGACAAAGAGAGUGUGCUCGUAAUCACAUCGUUCAAAUCCCUCAUUGACAAAAUAAGCUUCAAUUUUGCUAUACCAAGCACGUGGUGCUUGCUUCAACCCAUAUAAUGUCUUCUUAAACUUGUAUACCUUUUCUUCUUCACCCUUUCGAAUAUAACCUAGUGGCUGCUCCACAUACACAUCUUCUUUCAAUUCACCAUGAAAAAACGCACUUUUGAUAUCUAAUUGAUACACACUCCAUCCAUUUUGUGCUGCUAGGGCUAGAACCAUCCGAAUUGUGUCCCACCUUGCUACUGGAGCAAAGACUUCAUUAUAAUCAAUUCCUUGUCGCUGAGCAUAACCUUUAGCUACCAACCGGGCUUUGCACUUAUCAACCUCACCCUUUUCAUUCAAUUUGGUCUUAAAGACCCACUUCACACCAAUCUUCUUGGCACCAUUAAGCAAAGUAGUAAGCUGCCAGGUUUUAUUCUUCUCAAUUGCUUCAAUUUCCAAGUCCAUGGCCCUUAUCCAUUUCACAUCUCUCUUAGCUUCUUCAAAAGAGCCCGGAUCUUCAUGAGAGAUAAACAUUGCAAGAUUAUUCACAUCUGCAUUUUCUGAUAGUCCUUCACCCGUUACAUAGUCCUGCAAGUAAGGAGGUGCUCUUCGAAUCCUUGUUUCAGCUUGAAUUGGUGCAACUUCAUUGGAUGAUUCAAUCGAUGUUGGAGUUGUUGCUUCUGCCUCUUGAUCUGUAACCAUUGCUUCAAUACCUUCCACGACUUCUUCUUCACUCUAAGAGAAAGCCUCUUCACCUUCAACACUAUUUUCCCAGACCAGUAUAUCAAGCUUCACUUUUUCAAUCGUCCUCCCCCAAUUCCAGUCUUUAUCCUCUUCGAAACUCACAUCUCUACUCACUAUAAUUCUUCUAAUAGCUAGAUCAAACAACCGAUAAGCUUUAGAUUCAUGACUUACUUCAAGUAAGACGCACUGAAGACUUUUAUCAUCCAACUUUCUUCUCUUCUAAUCUGGCACAUGUACAUGAGCUAGGCACCUAAAAACCCUAAAGUAGUCCACUUUGGGUUUGACUCCACUCCACAUCUCUUCUAGGGUCUUGUCUUUCAGUACUAAUGUUGGACUCCUGUUGAGAACAUGCACUGUCCAUCUUGCAACUUCUGGCCAGAAUGCUUUUGGCACUUGUUUGUCACAAAGCAUGCACCGAACCAUAUUCAUGAUAGUUCAAUUUUUGCGUUCAGCUACCCCAUUUUGUUGUGGGGUAUAAGAUGCUAUUAGCUGCCUGCUUAUACUAUUGAUUCUACAAAACUCAUUAAACUCAUUGGAAGUGAAUUCUCUUCUUCUAUCAAUGCGUAAACAGCAGAUAAGUGCACCCGACUCCUUCUAAACCAAGCUCUUAUAGUUUUUGAAAGUUGUAAUUGCUUCAGACUUUGCAACCAAAAAAUUUAUCCACACCUUUCUACUAAAAUCAUUGAUAAAGGUUAUAAUAUACCUUUUGUUACUGUUGGAUUCAGGAGUAAUAGGGCCGCAAAUAUCAGCAUGAACGAGCUGGAAUUUUCAGGAAGCUCUCCACUAACUCUUCUUUGGAAUAGCAUUUAUGUGUUGCUUUCCCACAAAGCAUUCAUUGCAAGCUAUAGUUGACGCUUCACUAUCUUUUUGUAUUGCAAAGUCCUCAACCCUUUGUAACUCAAAUGCCUAAACCUACGGUGCCACAACUUUGAAUUAUCUUCUAUGACUGUUUGUAGGCAUGUCGAGGUCUCAAGCACCACAUUAGCCAAUAAUACAAACAUUUGAUUUGUUGUCAUCUUUGUCUGCAUAAUCAAUCCUCUUCUAGGGUGGUAUAACUUGCAUUCCCCAUUUUAUAUAAUUAUAGCUAAACCCCUUUCUUGAAGUUGGCCUAUACUUAGCAAAUUAUUCUUCAAAGCAAGAACAUAGUAAACAUUAGUGACUACCUGAGUUGAGCCAUUAAUCUCGAGUCGAAUGUUGCCUUUGCCCAUCACUCCCAUCCUUGUAUUAUUGUUGAGCUUCACUGAGUGUCUGAAAGCCUUAUCAAUGUUAGAGAACCACUGCCUGUUCCCUCACAUGUGAUUGCUGCAACCCGAGUCGAGGAACCACACAUUUUCUCGUUUCAAGUUGUUGACUUCAACAUAAGACAUGAAAAGGAUCUCUACUUCUUCAUUGAACUCAGCAUAGUUUGCACUCUUCUCCCAACUAGGGCAUUCGUAUUGGAAGUGCCCUAGUUUGUGGCAUUUAAAACACUCCACUAUGGCCUUGUUUGUAAAGUAGCUUCUUCUGCCUUUCAUGCAGCCUCGAACAAAACUUCGACCUCUGCAUCUUCCUUCAUACCUUUCGUCAUACGAAACCUUUAAAGCUUGUUCAUCCCUUGCAUUUCCACUAUGACAAUUCAUUCUCUAUUCAUGAACCAAAAGGCUACUUUGAAGCUCGUCAAUGGUCAUCAUGUCCACAUUAUUGGACUCUUCUAUUGAGUAUACCACAUAGUCUAACUUGGGAGUCAUUGAUCUCAAGAUUUUCUCCACAAUCACAUUCUGCCCCAUUCUUUCUUCAUGUGUUUUCAUCUUGUUUGCAAUAGUCAAAGCUUUGGUAAAGUACUCAUCAACCUUCUCACCCUCUUUCAUCUGCAGGAUCUCAAACUCUUUUCUAAGGGCUUGUAGUUGAGCUCGGUUAACUCUGGUGGAGCCCUGAUACUUCUACCUCAUUGAAUCCCAUAUACUCUUUGCUAUGUUAUUGUCAAGAAUUGUCUUCAUAAUGGUCUUGUCAAUCGAUUGAAACAGGUAGUUCUUGAUCUUCUUAUCCUUUAGCCUCGCCUCUUCAACUUCCUUUCUUUGUGCUUGAGUAGGCGUUGAUCCUUUGGCUAUUGAAGGAAUUCCAUUCUCUACUAUGCUCUAGUACUCCUUUGAACGGAGAAAAUUCUCCAUUAACAUGGCCCAAUGGUCAUAAUAACCAUCAAACCUUGGAACUGUUGGUUGAGCAAAGUUUUCUGUCGCCAUGUUCACUCAUUCCACCUUCCUUUCUUCUCUAUUCUCUCUUCUCACACUCUAUAAGAAAUUUGCAGUUUCUUACUUUCUUCAAUCAGGCCCCUUAGCGGAGCUCUGAUACCAGAUUGUUGAAAGCAAGAACUAUAAAGCUAUGAACUCACAUAAAUCUGGAAUAACAUCCCCAGUUUUAUUGAACACUUACUGGUGGCUUAUAUAGGCUUACAAGAUAAGGAAUUAGAAAAACAUUAUAGCCCAUGUCUUAUACAUAAAGACAUGGUAUUAGUUACUGAAAGAGUCAAAACCUAUCUACUGGUUCCUAACUAAUAGGAACUUAUUAACAGAACUUUGACAAAGCCAAACCUUAACAGAAACAAAUAAAUCCCAACUAUAAUUCCUCCCCUAAACUGAAGCAGUAUGCAUUCAGUUUAAGUUUGAUACCUCACAUACCCCAAGCUUCUCACGCAACUUCAAGAACACUUCAAGCUUCAGUGACUUUGUCAGGAUAUCAACCACUUGAUCAUUGGUGCCACAAUGAACCAACUUCACCACUUCCUCCUUAGUGAGAUCCCUCAAGAAAUGGAACCUCACAUCUAUAUGCUUGCUCCUACCAUGCAUAACCAGAUUCUUGGAUAGCUUGAUCGUUGAACUGUUGUCACACAUAAUAGUAGUACACUGGUUUAUACCCUAAGAAUCACAUGAAAAUAUACUUUUCUUCUUUCAAAAGAAAAAAAUUAAAAAAUGCCAGUCAUGGGACUAAACUAAUGGCCCUUACUACGAUACUUCCGCAUUAUCCUAUUUAAAUCGAUGUUUGGGGAUCUUGGACAUUGUUAUCAUUCUUUCCUAGUUUUUUAUUCCUUUCUUUUCUCUUGUCCAUUCUUUCCCAGUUUUUUUAAUUCUUUUCUUCUCCUUUAUCCAUCUUAAAGCAAACUUAUUCCAAAAGAUUUGGUACAUGUAACAGCUAGAACAUUGUCACAUGCAUGAUGGAGGCCGUCCCUGCAAAUUAUACCAUUUGUCUUUAGUAUGACCUUGCAAGUAGCUGCUGGCAAUAUCCACAAAACAAAAUUAAAUAAAAAUAAAAAUAAAAAUAAAAAUAGAAACAACAACAAAAAGUAAAACAAAGCUGAUAGUUUUGUGGAGAGAGAGAGAGAGAGAUGAAAAACACUUUUUAUGUUAAUUAAAAUGGCUUUAAGAGAGAGAUAUGAAAAACACUUUUUAUGCAAAUUAAAAUGGCUUUAAUGUUGCUAAUAAAUCACAAGAGAGAUUUUAAAAUGCGUUUGGAAAAAUUCUUUUGAUCACUUAAAACCUUAAUAGGGACCAAUAUAUGUAAUGUUCUAUUAAGUCACAAGAGAGAUUUUAAAAGAUUUUAAAAUACGAUUGGAAAAAUUCUUUUGAUCGCUCAAAACCUUAACAGGGACCAAUAUAUGUAAUGUUCUUUUUUAAUUAUUUUUAUUUUCUAUUGGCUCAAAGUGCUCUGAGAUGGAGUCUUCCUUCACAUCAGGUAAAUGGAAGAUAAAAUCAUAGGACGUGGAAAAUGAACCCAUCGAAGAUACCAUUUCCAAUUUUCCUUGGUCAAAUUUGGAGGUCACUUUGGCCUUGGAAUCUUAGAAAUUUUUUACCAAACUGCUUCCUUCCCCAUAAAAAAAGUUCAGUCACUUAAAAAAAUAAAAUAAAAAACUAUAUUUUAUAUAAAAUCAGUUAAUUACUUGAACUAUACCACAUAGAAAAUGACGAUAAGGGUGUUAUGAAAUGACGUGCAUUCAUUAUCUGAUUCCACUAAUAUUGUGUAAUAAUUUUAUUUCGGCAUGAAGCAUCAAACGCUUUGGUCAUGGUGGAACCCACAAUGAGGUAGCCGCCUUACAAGACCAGUCACCCAAAACCCUAGUUGAAUAAUCAACAUGACCUUGCCAAUUACAUCACACUCAAAAGCUUUUUUUUUUCUUUUUAAUUAUCUUGAUAUUUUAUGAUAUAAUCUUAUAUGAUGAACUGUCCAAUAACAUGGAUUUGACUCCUUAGACUGUUAGACAUAAUCCUUCCCCCUUUAUCCAAAUCCAAACUUUAUUAUUUCUUUGAGAAAUUCUAAGAGUAAUAAGAAAGAACUAUAUAACGAAUUUUGAUGGUUACUUUAGGUAAUACAUAGCUUUGUUGUUUUGUAUCUUAUUAAAAAUAAGAACAAUUUUAAUAUUUUAAGGUUAGGAGGGCUUACCUAGAGAAAUUAAUUGAAAAAGAUGGUAUUGAAAUAGAAGCAAUAGACAAAAAUGAAACUGAUUGUUUUCUCCCCCAGAAGGGAAAGAAAAUUGGAUUACUUGAGCUUAGGGUUUGAGUUGGUGUCAUUAGUACUUGGUGGAGGUCAUUAAAAUUAUGAAGAUUUAACAAACCCAAGAAGAGAAACCAUGUUUACAAGGUCUACAGAGAAGAUGAAGAGAUGCUUAAAGAUCAAUGACAAAUCUUUUUCUUCCCUACUUCACGGGAAGCUUGUCUCCUUACAACUGAGAGAAUAUUUGAAACUUGAUGGACUCAUUUUCAAUAAAAAAAAAAAAACAAAAUGUUUUUUUUUUUUUUUCUGACUCAUAGCUUCUGAGUGAAAUAUUCUAAAGUGGGCCUUUGAAAAUUGAAACUCUCCACAAGUCUCUUUCCAUCUAGAAGAAAACCCAACCCCGCCUUCAACACUCUUGCGUGUUACAUCCUGGAAAUUGACUUGAUAGUCAAUUUGUCAAAUUGGAAUAAAGAGUUGAUGAUAAUAAUAAUAUAUAGGUAUUUUGCUUACUGGGUCGGCCACGGCUGACUAGAUCUACCCACAAUGCUUCUAUGGUGAUGACUCUUAUGGUUUGAUUGGUGAUGAUUUUCAUCGGUUGGUUGAAAGCAAAGGAAUCUUGGAUUUAGCUUUACUAGGUCAAGUGCUUGAUCAUAUGGCUUCUAGGAAGGAAUUAAUUAAUCCUGUGCAUAUCUUCUUAAAGGUCCUCUUUUAAAGUGUUUCGAUUGAUCAAGGUUUUUGUACUACGAAAAUUUUAAAAGAUUCUUAUAUUCAUAGUUUCAUUUACAUUUAUCAAUGAAAUAAUUAAAUUGGGAAAGGAAAAUAAGAAUUCUAUUAGGAUUUGAGUUAGGGUUAAUCCACUCAUAUUGCCUAAUUAGCUCAACAAAAUCAAACUUCUAGGUUGAUUGAUAGCUUAACUUACCUUGGAAUUUGAUUUGCAUGAAGUCAAGUACAGAAAAGAGGUUUUCACUUCUUUUUUUUUUUUCAAUAAACAAUAUGUGCUUACAGAAUUCAGUAGAUUGACGAUUGGCUCAACUCAAUGGAGACUCAAAAACCUGUCCAGUUCAAACGACCUUUAGAAGCUUCUGUCCCCAGCAGGCAGUUUACUUAUUUUUAAAUUCAUCCCUGUCAAUGAAUAAGUCUUUGUAGACCCCACUCCAUGAAUAAAUUUGUGUAUACAAGUAUAUAUAAAUCCACCACAUAGCUAGCCUGCAGAUCACACCAUCCAUCUCCUAUAAGGCUUCUCCUCUCCAUAUCCAAUCCAGAAAAGGAAGGAAAGUGAAAGAAAAUUAUUAGGGCACUAUGACAAGCGACACCGGAUCAGUGCGCCGGAAGAAGAGCCUGAAGUGUCUAGCAUAUGUUGCUGCUUUUGUGGUGUUCCAAACUGGCAUCAUAUUGCUCUUUGUUCUACUAGUCCUGAAGAUCAGAGAUCCUAAAGUCCGCAUCGCCUCCAUCUCUGUGGAGAAUCAGCAUUUCUCUACAAAUUCCUUUAGCAUGGACCUCAAGGCUCGAGUUACAGUCAAGAACACGAAUUUCGGUCACUUCAAAUUCGAUAAUAGUACUGCAACUAUAUCGUAUUUUGGCACUGCAGUAGGGGAGGCAACUAUUCUUAAGGCGAGGGCUAGAUCAAGAUCCACCAAAAGGUUUAACAUAACUGUGCCCAUAUCUUCAUCCAAGGUAAAUAACCAUCGACAAUUGCGUAGGGAUUUAAAUUCUGGGGUUUUGAAUCUGAGCAGCACUGCAAAGUUGAGUGGAAAGAUACAUCUGUUCAAGAUUUUCAAGAAGAAGAAAUCUGCAGAAAUGAGUUGUACCAUGGAGCUUCAUACUAACACAAGCUCCAUUGAGAACUUGAGCUGCAAGUGAAAAUUCUACCACGCUUAAUUCACUAGUGUUUUUCUGUCAUGGGGGAGAGGCCAUAUGUGAUGGAAAGAAACUAUAGAAUUUGUAUUUUGCAUAUUCUUUAUAGUUUGUGUAUGUAUUUUUAAGAUAUUGGAAUUUCCUUUCAAGGCAUUUUAAAAAGAACAAGAGCUCUGGUUUUACUUAGUUCUUUGCUUUAACUUUAGGUUUUCUGUGAUUCCCCAUGGAAGUUUAAUAGAUCUGAUCUUGAUCUUCAAGUUUUUCUGGGAUUCCUCAGCUGGGAAAAUUUGUGACUUUAUAAGUCAAUGGGUCAUGGAUUUCAGGGCUUGUGAAAUGAGAGUGGACGUUGGCAAGCUUGCCCUCAUAUUUUUUUUCCCCUUGUAUGGAGCCAUUUGGUCCUCCGACUUUCAUUGACCCAAAAUAAAUUAUUAUCAGGGCAUUUACUUUUUCUUCGCCACCAAACAAAGUCUUCCUUUGACUUGAUGAGUUUAUUUUUGUUUCCUUUAAUUUCUAGGCCUAUUAUCUUGUUCAAUUAUUCCGGCGCACUUCAAAAAUGUGGUUAGACCAUGCAUGAAAAUAUAUGAAUAUAGUGAAAAUUAAAAGAAAAAAAAAUGUGAUUGACAUGAAAAUAUUUUUUUCAACUUAGUGAUUGACAUGCACUAAAGUUCAAUACUUUCCAAUCCAGUGGCAGCUAUGUGGAUGUACACUCAAAUUUGUUUCAUCUGCAACCUUGAAGCCUGUCUAGGAUGAUUACAACUAUAGUACAAAUUUCUGUAUGAAACAUUUUGGGUUUUUCAAAAGCAGUGAUCUUGAAGCAAGUUGUGGGAGUUUGGUGAAUUGUUUGUGGUUCCACAGCACUAAAUGCAAGCAGUAAAAGUAGGGUAAAAACUUGAGGUUCACCACACAAUUUGGUAGGUCCAAAUUGUCUUUGAUUUUGAGUGUGAAUCCAGAAAGGAAGCAACCAGCCACACUGCCAUGCUAACAUUGGCCCUACCAUAGAAGGAGUCAUACCACCAAAAUGCAUUUGGCUUGCAAGUAGACCUUAUCACCCAUUUUAGACGUUUGAUUAGAGACGUGUUGGACUUUUUUCUGUCCUAUAUAUAUAUAUAUUUUUUUGGGAAAAAUUAAUAAUAAUUAUUAUUCGUCUUUAUUAAUAAUCAUUGUGGGACAACAUUUGCCCGUGUCUGCAUUUUGUAGCAUUUCAAAUUUGGGUUAAGAUUUGUGUGACUUAAUAUCCAAAAAUGCACCCAAAAACCAUUAUUCUAAAAAGUUCUAAGGUAUCUUUAAUUUUAGGAAAAUUUAAGGGAAAACAGAGAGGAAAACUAUAUAAAAGAGAAAAAAAAUAAAAAAUAGAUUUAAAAUUAAUAAAUUAUUUUUAUAUAUAUUUUUAAAUUUAUUUUAUUUAUUUAAUUUUAUUAUAAAUAACUUAAAAUGUAAAUUUUUUUAAAAAAAAAUUAACAUUUUUUUUCAUUCCUAAUACUUUCCGAUACCAAACAUAAGCUACGGGUUUUUUUGGGAAAAAAACACUUACACAAUUCAAAACAAAACCCGUUAAGUCUACAUAAAGAGUCUCCUCUGUAUUUGGAGAGCACACUACACACUUUUCGACAAAAUGCAUUUCCCCACAAUAAGAAGAAGACCUCUCUUUUUAAUUUUUAUAUUUUUACUUUUAUUUUUAUUUUUGGGCACGACAAAAAAUGUGGAUGUAGCAAACCCCUUUUCAUAAAGUUAGAAACUUUUUUGGCAAAACUCUUCAUCAGCAAAGAACAAUAAGAGGUAACUUUGUUUUUAAAAGCAAAAAAGAAUAUUUCUUUUGAAAAAGAAGAUCAAAAUAUAUAUGGUGAUUUUGGUUAUUCUUUCUUCUCUUAAAGUUGGCUCUCACCAUGCAAAUUUUAUUUUUCAAUUAAGAAUAUUUACCUUAUUUUUACUCCAUCUCUUUAAUAUGAAAUAAGAUCUUUGAUUGGAAUAUGGGAUCAUAGUUUCAUAUUCCAAUCAUGCUAUUUGUAAUUUUGUUACAUUUAUAUGUAUUCUAACACUAUUUAUAUAUUUUUUUAUUUUGAUAAUUAUUUUUGUUAAAUUAUCAAUUUUCUAUAUAAAAAAAAAACCCAUAUCUUUAGAGAAACUAACCUAAUUUGGAUUUAUAUUCAAUAAAUAAAUAAAAAAUGUAAAUUAUAGAGAAAGAAAGGAAAAAUACGUACAAAUUGCAAAGAAGGGGAUCAAACCCGAAACCUCCCCCUCAAAUCAAGUUAUGAUAUAUAAAAUAAUUAUAUCUCGAAUAUUUUCUCAUUUUACACAUGACACUGAAGGUGAUGAUGGGUGUCAAACAAGAACCCUCAUCUCUGACUACCCUUAUCAUUCAAACUAAUGAUAUGAUAUAUAAAACAAGGUUAAUGCCUAACUGCCCAUGUUAAUCUAAGUGCCCGAGUCCACUUCAAUUUGGUGGAGAAAAACUACUCCCAGUAGCGGUAUCCUACUCAUUUCACAUUUGGCAUCUUCAUAAUUGCACAUUAGCUUUUGUACUUUGACUUUUAUUGCUUAACAGGUGUUUUUAGGUUUUGGAAAUUCUGGUGUCCAAAACUUCUACAUGCAUUCAUGUUAAAAUAAAAAGAGGUAAAUUUAAUGCCCUAGUUGGUUUAAUACUUUUAUUGAAGAUGAACCUUGUUACUUGUAAGAUAAGACAGCUUGUUUGAAUAUUAUUAUUAUUGUUAUCAUACCCACUACUACCAUUACUAUCACUAUUAGACCUUGUCUCUCUCUCUUUUUUUUUUUCUUCUUUUUUUUUUCUUUGUUCCUUCACACAAGAGGUUAGUAAGGAUCCAGUUCAAGUUUAUGUACAAUCUAAAUGUAUAUCUAAUAUAUAGAUUUAGCCCCUUUGUGGAUUAGAACACUUUUAUCUAUUAGGGUUUAAAGAAUUAAUUUUUUUAGUGUAUUUUCUAUCUUAAUUUAGAAAAAAUUUAAAAAUAUGUUUAGAUUUUACUUUCUAUAUUUAUUUUCUCUGGAAAUUAUUAUAUAUUUUUUCAUAUUUAUAAUAUUUCUAUUCCUUUUAUAUCAUAGUUCCUAUAAAAAAAAUUUAUAUCAUCAUUUUCCUUUUUUGUUUUCAAUCUUUUAGAAAAUAAUUUUCAUUUUUUUUAAUAAAAAUUUUAUUAUUGGCAAGCGUUUCUAGCUAUUGUUCCCUUCCAAAGAGUAGGUUUUUACACGUUACUCACUCAUGUGCCACCGAAAACACUACUUCUCACUUGCAUGUGUUAAGCAUGUCGUCAGCAUUCAUCUUGAAUCAGGAUCGAACCUUCCAUGAGAUUUAUAGUUACAUUACUUAUAACUUCCUUAUUCCUAGGCAAAGUGGAUUUAGAAUUUUCAUUCAUUUCAAGACAUAACUUGUAACAUGUGUUUUACUUAUGGAUCUUUUUGAUAGGAUAAAUAUAAAUAAUGCACAACCAGAUUUUAUCCCCUCUUAUGAGAACCUAAUAGGAAUCAAUCAAAUAGAGUAGCAAGAAGACACCCAAUCAACAAGUAUAUGAAUACCAUUAGCGUGAAAAACCUUCUCUAAUAUGAGAAGUAAAAACCACAGGACCCUUAGGCCACUUAAAAACUCCACUAAUAUAAUUAAUGGGUUACACAAUUCUUUCUAAAUAAAACUAGAAGCAUACAUCAACCAUAUCUCAAGACAAAUUGAUCUUGGCAAUUUCAACAACUUUGCAUAAAAACAAUAGAGAGAUCUCACCAAACACACCACAAAACUAAAAUAUAACUUUUCAGAACUCCAAAUCCAAUCUCCACCGUUCAGAAUGAAGAUUAAUAAGUCAUGAACGUGCUCUCCAAAAAUCGGCCCAAUCGAACCACAGAUUAACCUUGAUCGGAGUUCAUGAUCAAAAUUGUCCGAAUAGAAAACGCAUCAAAACAAAGGCUCUGUUCUUGGACUGAAAGACGACCUUCUGGAUCUCCAAAUCCGAUCUUCACCGUUAGAAUGAAGAUCAAUGAUUCACGAACUUCUCCCCCAAAUUUUAAGUCGAUCGGCCCACAAACGAAGCGGGAUUGGACCUUUGAUGAAAUCUGGGCAGUGAAGAAUAAACUGAAUUUUUCUCUCUAACUUCAAAAAUGGUGGUUCUCCCCUGUCUCUCUCUUUUCUCCUACCUCCGGUGGCUGUGAAAAAUUGGAAGAAGAAGAAGAAAAAAAAAAACAUGAUUAUUUUUCUAGCCCUUUUAUAUAAAGGCCUAAGAGGCCUUAAAUUUUGAGCUCUUAAUUUGGGCCUUCCACAUGAGGAAAAACUCAACAUUUUUUUCAAUUUACACCCAUUAUCUCAAGUUUUAGAUUGAACUAAUCCAUUGACACAAAUAGUUCAUGGGAAAAAAAUCGAGUUAUUUGAGCCCCAGUGGAUUGACAGGACAAAUUAUCAAUUUUUUGAUAUAGGAUAUCCAUCCUAGUCACUAUGGACGCAUUUGUCCAAUCGACAUGUUUGAAGGAAUCAAUGUUGGACUUAUUGGAUCUUUAGCAAUUCACGCAAUGAUUGAUCAUUUUCACUUUCUUAAUUUUUUGAAAUUAGUUUUGCAAAAAAAGAAAAUAGAAUGUUUCUUGGAAAAUAAAAACAAGAUUUCUAUUUUUCAAAAACAUUUUUUACUUUUUGUUAAUUAAACACAUUUUUAAAAGAGGAAAGACAAAAAUGAAAGCUAUUUUCAAAAAUUAAAAAUUAAAAUUAAAAAAUGUUUUCCAAACUAAAUGCUACCUAACUUUUUUUUUAUUUACUUUAAUUAUUAAAUUGAUAAAGAUGUUAGAAAUCAGUUAACGAAGAUCAGACAUUUUUUUCUUUAAUUUUUAUUCAACUUCAUUUUGAAUGUUGUUAAAAGAUUGAUUUUGAUUGAAGUAAACCAUCACAAUUAUCAAACUAACUUGGUUGAUCGAAUUAACGUUGGAGACAACAUCCAUCAUAUCAUAAAUCCCACUACUUCCUGAAGUUGAUUUUUAUUGAAAGCAUGUUAAUCCUGAAAAAGAUGAUGGGCAGAGAACUUCAGCCGAGACAGAUUGGUUUGGACAAAAAGAGAAAGACGUCCAACAACUUUAAGAUACCAUGUCAACAUGAUCACAUGACACCUCCGGUCAAUAAAAUGCUCAAGAAGCUAAACAAUUAUGCAAGUAAAAGAGUGUAUAAUUGGCCCAUGAUACCCACAUACUAAAGAGGAGGGACAGGAUUAAUGAGUGGGAGGGCCAUCAUAUACUUCUCACGUAUAACAAGCUUCUCUAAAGUCAAUUUGCAAUCUUUGUUCAAACGCCCUUGUGAAGACUUUCUAGCAUCUAAUUUCCAUAUAUAUAUAUAUAUAUAUAUAUAUGGAAAUUAAAUAUCAUAAAUGCAAUGAAAGUUUUUUCUUGUCCCAACUGGUAUGCAGGUGCAAAAGAGUCUUGAUUUUGUUCCAUAACACUACAUAUGAUCAUGUUGCUUUAUUUGUUACAAUUUGGCAAACAAAUGACCAUCCUUCUUGGAUUACAUCACCAGUGGACAUAUUGGCCAUGUAUCAUUUGUAGGUAUUCAUCAAACAAGAGUAAGCCCAAUCAUUUCCUUGGAUUAAUUCAUAGAACCCAUGAAUAGUGGGAAAGAUUCAACAGCGGCACCAACCAAUGGUGGAGGUACCGACUGUAACGGGGUGCAACUACUUGGGCCGACCCGGGUCAUAAGCACAACUAUUGGGGCCGGCCCGGGCCAAGCACACCCAUUGUGAACCUGACAACAAUGCAAUCAUCCCCCUUGGGCGACCGUGCCAUUCUCGAAAUUGAACCGACAUUGAGCUUCCACCUCCACUAACCUUUGCCUUCUGGUUUUUGAGCCUUAAGCCAAUCUGCUCCCAUCAAGCUUCUUUUUGGUUAUAACUUGAUAGUCAGUGGGGAAUAAUCGAGAAUCGCCUCGAUUACACCUUCGUGCAGGUGCCCGAGAGUGCCGGCAAACUCAUCAGUCACCAACUCACAUUGUUGGAUUGGACCAGCAGGCGAAUUUAACUCCCAGCGUUACAAACUCCAACAAAUUGUCAUCCCAGAAAGGACUUCGAGGCUAUCAUGGUGCAUGUUGGGAUAUUUAGUUUAGUGCAUAGCAUGACAUACAUAAGGCUACCCACUACUGAUGCAUAAGAUUACACGAGCUCUCAGAAUUUAGCACCAGAUUCGUCUUCUAUAAGACAUAAAAUCCGGUUUCCUAUAAAAAUGAAUCUCGUCUACUAAUAAUUUUUUUUUUUUUUAUAUAAAAAAAGUCGAAUAUUUUUUUAUCGUCCAUCCUUCAUCAGGAAUCACAACAUACUUCUUAGUAGAAGGCAUGCCUUAGAGGAGAGGAAGCCUAGUUCGGCUAAGCGCAAAAUAUCAACUUCCCAUUCCACAAUGUGACAGUCCAUAGACGAUUCAAAUGAUUUCUUUAGCAUGUUUGAAUUCUCCGAUCACCCUGACUCUAUUGAGUCAGAGGAGGUUAAUUUCUAUGGUCAAAAUAUGUGAGCCCCUAUGAGAUUGGAAGAGGUUGUGCUAAUGGCCUGUUGUAUCAUCUUCAGUUCGUCAUCCCUUUCUGCAGCUGUUACAAUCCCUUCUGCAUAACAAAGCCCUGUUUCUAUAGAAUCUAAUGAUGAAGAUAAGGUUACUGGGGAAGCACUAGUCCAUCAGUCACCUUGGGCGCUCUCUUAUAUCCCAGAUAAAGAGAAAGUUCUUAGAGAGACUGUUGUUCCAAUGAAACUUCAAACAUCAGUAAGCUAAAGCCUCAGACUCAGCUUCUUUAUUAUUCUAUGUGAGACCUUCAUUCCCAGAUGAAUUAGGCCUUUGAGAUAGGCGGCCAAGCUGCUUUGGUGGAGAAGCUUAGAUCGUCCUAGGUAGAUGGAUGUGGAUGUUGAUGAAAUAAUCCAUUUAAGCUAGUUUCCACAAUGUCAUGAUCAAUUCCCUUUAAAUAUUCAACAAAAUAUUAAUUAAGGUUUUGAAAAGAAUCGACCGAUUCAGUCCAAUCUGACCAUCAAUAGACCGUUCAAGGGUCAGACCGGACAAACUGUUUGGUUUUCCAUGAACCGGUCAACCAUUGAUUUGACCAAAAGGUACUAGGCUAUUCCCUCUUCUAAGCCCACUAAGAACCUUGCAUCUCUACACAAUAUGGAAGAGAACCAAAGAUUUAUUUUGUAAAAUUCCGAUGUGGGAUUAGUUAAAAUAGAAAAGAAACUUUCAAAACAUGGACCUUUGGUUGACAAAACAAGGUAGGUCCGGUAAGCUAUACUUAGUAAGAUUAUAAAACAAAUAUUUAUAUAUUCAAUUUUCAAAAUGUUAUUAUAUUAAACAUUUAAAUAAAUAUUAUAUUUACGUUUAUUUUAAUAAUGAUUAUUAAUGAUAAAUAUGAAAAUAGUAUAAAUUAAUUAAUAUAAUAAUUUUUAAAAAUUUUAAAAUAACAAAAUAGAUAGAUAUAUGGAUAAAAAUUAAAUAUUAUAAUUUUUUUCAUCUUAAAUAUAUCAUCAUCAUCAUAGUUAAAUAUUAUACAUAUUUUAUUUAAUAAAAUGUAAUAUAUUAAUAAAUUUGUAUCUAUAUUUAUCAUUUAAUUUAACAUAUAUAUUAAAUAUAAAAAAUGAGACAUCAUUAAAAAUUUUAAUUUUAUAUAUAUAUAUUAUUUUUUUUUAAAUUAUUUUUAAUUUUAAUAAAAUAUAAAUUAUAUAUUUAUGAUAUCAGUAGUUCAACGACAAUUCAACCAUUUGUCCGACCAUUAAACUGUGAACUAGUAAUUUUUCUUAUUCAAUGAUCUAUCCGAUUUUUAAAACAAUGAUUAUUAUAAUAACCCAAAUCAAAUUCCAACCAUAUAAUCCCAUGAUUUCUUAACGCUAAUUAAAAUUUCAAAUACUUUUCCUUUUUUAACCCAAACCUAGCGUAUACUUAUGAAUUCUUAAAUUUAUUUUUAAUAUUCCAUCCACUGAUAUUUUUUUGUAAGGUCAGAAUGAAAAAAAUUAACCCAUUUUUCUUUGAUCACAUGUUUGCCAAUUGAGUCCAUCAAUUGUGACUACCUCUACUUUGACAGCUAGCUCCGUUUAACUAUAUCUAUGAACAAUUUUACAAAAAAAAAAAAUUAUAGCUCAUAAAUGGAGAAACUAAAGCUGUGACGCUGCGUUACAAACGGAGAACUAGGAAACAACAUGGCUGUACAAGUGGGGUGAAUAGAAUGCAAACACGAUGUCGUUUUACUAGUAACACGACAAAAACGACAGCGUUUGGGACUGCAAAAACUUCCAAGAGGUCAUUAUUGAAGACGAAGAAAGACAAAAAGGAGUUAGCUUUUUCAGAACAUAAAAAAGAAUCCUAUACGUUUUUCUAUGCCUCUGAAUUCUUCUGAUACCUCCUUUGAUAUGACCAGCCCACACCCUCCUUCCGCAGAGAAAAAACAAACAAGUUAUGUGCUUCCAAAUAACGUAGUGACUCGUGACAUGUCGUAGGAAAAACCCUUCUUCCUUAAUUCUAAGAAUAUAUUUAUCACUAAGUUGAUUAUUUAACGUGCAUGGAAAAGUUUAGAUUUAUUUCCAUAUCAAAGCAUACAACUAUAGGGCGUACGUAAGUAAAUAAAUUAAACCAAGUCCAAGAUUCAAGAAAUAUGAUUCAUUUUUUGCCUCCAUGACUUGAUCAGCUUGUCUAGUUCAGCUAGAGAUGACCCUCCAUCGCUCAUUGCAGCCUUGGCUUCGUCUUUCAUUGCAGUGAUGCGAUUUCUAAUUGAAAAUCCUUUCUCAGUCUCCAUCAACUCUAUGACUCGCUUCUCGAGCUCUGUUGACGUCACCAGUCCUGCGGCUGACGACUCCAUUGGUAACGCUAUCUUCAUUUCUUUGACCAUCAUAACUUUGUUAAGCCUUUGCUCCGCGUAGAGGGGCCACGCCACCAUGGGCACGCCGGAGGAGAUAGCUUCGAGCACCGAGUUCCACCCGCAGUGAGUCACGAACCCGCCGACCGAGCCAUGACUCAGCACUGCCACCUGUGGAGCCCAUGACUUCACCACUAGUCCCCUCUCCUUGGUUCUAUCUAAGAAUCCAUCUGGUAGUAGCGAAUCCAAAUCCGGGUCGGGUGGUGCUAAAAAGCGCUGACUCUGGUCCUUGGACGGUGGACUGCGCACCACCCAUAGGAACCUCCGCCCGCUCGUCUCUAGCCCCACUGCUAUUUCCUUCAACUGCUCUUCUGAAAAGAAACCCAUGCUGCCAAAACACAGAAACACUACGCUGCGUUUCGGCUGCGAGUCCAGCCACUUUAAACACUCUUUUCCAUCUCCCCCACCGUCUCCGCUUUGUGUGGCUAUCAACGGCCCUAUGCUGAACAGCUGUGGUGUAGGACGGUCUCUUACACAAAGCCCGUCUUUGAUAGCCUUCACAGCUUUUGAUUCCAAGGAUUCAAACGAAUUCACUAUGAUUCCAGCCGAUUUCGUGAUAUGGGUAGUGUGAUACACAAAAGAUUCAUAUGCUUUGCUGGUGCGGUCAAGCACCGGUGUUGGCAUAUCCUCCGAUGGUAUCGGCGGCAAGCCCGGGGCUUGAUGAAGGGUGUUCAUAUCCUUGAAACUCUGAGUGAUGUUCUGGUGAAGAGUAGGGAAGUAAAGGAACAAAGCGAGGCCGGAGCAGGAGGAAGUGAAGAAAUAGUAGACCGGAACGUUAAGCUCUCCGGCGACGUCCAGAGCUGGGGUGCAGAACAUGUCGAUGACGAGAGCGAGGACGGUGGAGGUGUUAGAGAUGGAUUGGAGGGCUUGGUGGACAUUAGGGUUGCUGAGGGUUAAGAGAUCAAAUAUUAGGGCCUCAAAAGAGGGGUAGGAGGAGAGGUGUUGAGGAAGAGUUGGGAUGGGGAGGUGGCGGAAGGUGAUGGAGGGGGUGGUAGAAGAGACAGCGGAGAUGUAAGGGGCGGUGGCGCCAGUGUUAAAAGGUGGGUCGAGGAAGAAGAUGACGAUGGAGAGUGAAGGGUGGUGUCUGAGGAUGAGCUUCCCAAGCUCAACCAUGGCGAUAAGGUGUCCAAUCCCCGGUGAUGGGUACAACACUACACUCUCCAUUUUCCGACAAUCCAAACAGACUCUGAGUUUUCUCACACUUCUCAGUUUACCCUCUCCUCGGUUUAUAUGGCCAAGAAAAUAACAGCAAAGCUCCCUUUAACAUCCCUUUCAUUGAAAUUGAAUAAGCUAUGAAACCAUUGAAUUUUCUUUAUUUCAAUGGAGCUUGCCUAUCUAUCCAAUUCAUAAGAGAAAGAAAAUAGACAAAUAAGAAAAUUAAAAUUUAAGAAUAUUUUUAACACAUAUCUUUCGUCAUAUUCAUCUUUAAUUUUGAAAACUUCUUACAAGAAGAUAUUUUCUGUCGAGUAGGGAUUUCUGACACACAAUAAUACUGCCAUAUGAAUGCGGGAAUUCAGCAACAUAACUUUAGCAUAAUCAUUGGUACUAUGCUUCCGUUUCCCCUUUUAAUGGAAAAAACUUCCUUUUUCCUUAAUUGAACGAGGGAUUGGAAGUCAAGGGAGCAGGGAGAGUGAAAAGACCAGCGCAGCGUGAUCCAAACGUAUUGGAUCAUGAACCUUGUUUCAAUUUUGUUGCGUGUAUUAUUUAUACUUUCCCUUUUUUUUUAUUAUUAGUGGAUUUUUUCAGUAUAGGUAUACUUCGUGGUUUGAUCAUUCAACCAUGUUAAAAAUCUCGUUUGUUUUUAUAUUUUCUCUUUGAGGGUGUGCAUGGUUUGAUUGACAAAAGUUGGGAUAAAUUUUCGUGGAAUUGUAUAUCAUUGUGUUAUUCUUCUUUAUAUUGGUGAAAAUAUUUAGAGAUUUGUUUGGAAGAUGAUUCUGAUGUUUUAUAUAUUUGGAAUUAAAGUAUAUAUAUUUUUUAUAAAAAGUAUAAGAACAAAGUUCUAAAAUUACUUACAGUUUUUACUUUUUAAAAAAAAAAAUAAAGAAUAACUUUUAUAUAAAAUAUUAUAGUAUUUCUUGUAUACAAAGUGUUGAUUUAUCUUAUUUGCUUAAAAAAAGUUUUAAAAAAUUUUAAAUAUGAGAUAAAUCUUAAAAAGUUAUUAUAUUUUAAAAUUAAUUAGUUAAAAGAUAUGAAAAAAAAUUUGUAUUUGUAAAUUUAUCCUUUUUUAUAUUUUUAUUUCAAGAGCAAACCAUUUUUAAAAAGUUACUUUUACAAGAAAACAAUUCUUCAUAGAAACAUUUAUUAUAUAUAAAAAUGUUAGUGAUGAAAAGGUUACAAAUUAAAAACAGUUUUACUAUAUUAAUCACUUCCAAAUUAACUAACCUUAUUACCAUAUAUCUUGUUGGAAAAAACUUUUUAUAAAGGUUUAAAGAAUAUGGUUUUAAGGUGAAACGAGUUUUUAUUUCAAGAUACAUAUAUCGAGUACGUUUGACACUAAUUUUAAGAAUUGUUUCUAAUUUUUCUAAUAUUUGAAUAAUAAAAAAUUUUAAAUAUUAGAAAAGGUAAAAAUACUUCUUCAAAUCAUUAUCAUACACACUCUUAGAGUCUAUUUAAUAGUGAUUUUAGAAAGUAUUUUUAAUCUAAAAAAUCGUUUUUGAAAAAAAAAAAGUGUUUGAUAAAGUUUAGGAAAUACUUUUAAAAAUCUGAAAAAUCUCUUAUAGUGUUUUUUCUAAAAAAAAUAUUUGAAGUGUGUUUGGUAGUGAUUUUGCGAAGUAUUUUUAACAUUUUUAAUACUUAAAAAAUAAAUAUUUUGAAGUGUUAGAAAAACUAAAAACACUUCUUAAAAUCAUUGUCAAAUACACUCUUAAAGUGUGUUUGACAGUGUUUUCAUUCGAAGUACUUUUAUAGCUUAUUUGGUAGUGAUUUAGAAAACGUUUUCAAUACUUGAAAAUUUAUAUCAUUCAGGUGUAAAAAAAAAAAAUACUACAAAUGCAUUUUAAAAUCACUCCAAAACACAUUUUAUAUAAGUAAUUUUCCUAAAAAUACUUUCAAAUAAGAGUAUAUUUGAUAGUAAUUCAAAAAAGUGUUUCUAAUAUUUCUAAUACUUGAGAAAUAAAAAUUUUAAGUAUUAGAAAUAAUAAAAACACUUUCUAAAUUCACUAAUUAAAAAACACUUUUAUUAAAAACACUUCAAAUAAAAUCCUACUAGACCGCAAAGUUAGGCAUAUAUGACUAUUAAAUAGAUCCAAAAAGGCAAAAUGACUUCUAAUUUUGCUGAAAUGUCUUGUACAAAGGAGACUAUAAUUCUCCUAUACAGAAUCAACUUCACAAUAAAAAGGAGCUACACAAUAAUUUGAAAAGAUAUAGUCUAUCCAGAAGCUAUUUUUUUAGUUAAAGAAAAUGUUAUUUCAUUGUUAAGUAAUCUUUUCUCCUAUCAACAUUGUCACUUUCAAAUUAUCACUUAAUUUGUCUUAAGUUUCAACUUUAUUUAAAGUUGAAAACAGAUAGUACGUAGUCAUCUCAAAAUGAAGCUUUCUUCUGCCUCCUCUUCCAAGUUCCAACACAUAAUAAAAUGCAUAUUUUUUUAUUUUGAAAAAAUAAAUAUAAAAACAACAUACUUACAAUUUUUAUCUAUUUUAAGAAAGAUGUUAUGACUAUUGUUACUAAAAUUUCUUAUUAAUUUUUUCAAACAGACAAAAGGAGCCUUAAUGUCAUUCUCAACAUAAUAAAAAAAUAAUGAUUUAUUGAUUAGUUCAACUAAUCAAAUGUGUACUAUUAUUAAAUAAUUAAAUAUUAUUUUAUUAGGUAAAUCAACUGGUCAUCACCAGCAAUUCUCUUCGUGGACUGACAAGUAAACACUAGUAAUCCUGCUUUCUAGCCAAGAACUGUGCAUACAAUGACAAACUUUGUAUUUUUUUGUUUAAAUUAAUAGAACCUUUAUACUGUAGUCUCCGAAUUUAUUGAUAAGACAAAGAAAAAAAAUAUGUUUCCAAAAACUCAUAUAAAAAUAAUCUUUUUAAAAAAUUAUUUUAGUUUUAUGUAUUUAUGGGUCAAAGAUAAUAUUUAAGAUGGUCAAAUAUAAUACCUGUAUCAUUAAAAGAUAAUACCUAAACGAUAAAAAAUAGUACUUUGAUUAAAAAGUGUAUGAAAUACUAAUUAUUUUUAGAUAACUGCUUGAAAUUUAUAUUUUAUAUAAUUAGUGAUAAGGCAGAAUCCUAUUCUGAUUGAUUCUUUCCUUGAUCUUAGAUUAUUUGUUAUUACGUAUAUUUUAUCUUUUCCUAGUUUAUAGGAUCUUUCAAUUGUAUAUAGAUUCUAUAUAAUGAGAAACAAUUACCUCAAUAAUUAUUGAGGAUUUCAGCCAUAUUUUACAUGGGUUCUCAAACCUUUAUAUGGUAUCAGAGCAGGUUCUAAAAUAUUUUUUUCGAUCCUCUUCAUGGCUACAUCGUCGUCCUCAUCAUCUCCACUUCCGCUCAACACGAUGGUGCAUAUGCUCACCAUCAAAGUAACCUCCUUUAAUUAUUUGUUAUGGAGAAAUCAAUUUAUCCCUUUGUUGACCAGCCAAGAUCUUCUUGGAUUUCUGGAUGGUAGUGUCCUAGCUCCUUCUCCACAGGUUACUGAUUCUAACGGCACCACCCAAGUGAAUCCGGCCUACACCUCUUGGUUGACUACUGAUCAGACUCUUCUCAGUCUUCUUUAUUCUUCUCUUACAGAGGAGUCUAUGAGUGAGGUACUUGGUCUAAGUCAUGCACAUGAGGCCUGGACCACUCUUGAAGCCUCUUUUUCUCACAGAUCCAAGACUCGAGAACUCCAACUCAAGGAUGAGCUUCAACUGAUGCAGCGAGGCUCAAAAUCCGUAGCAGAAUUUUCUCGACUCUCCAAAAGGCUCUACGAUCAACUGGCGGCAAUUGGUCGUCCCAUUGAUGACUUGGAUAAAGUCCAUUGGUUCUUAAGAGCCUUAGGUCCCAAUAUAAAAUUUUCUCCACUACAAUGCUUUCCCAGCUUCCAUUACCUUCUUUUGUAGAUAUCAUUCCAAAAGCUUUGAGUCAUGAGAUCUUUGAACGAUCAGUGUACCAACAAUCUAUCAACUCAGCGUUCUACACUCAACGAAAUAAUUCCACCAGACCGAAAAGCACCAAGAGCGGGAAACCCAAACCUUCCACUGCCUCUGCCUCAAAAUCGUCCCCCUCUUUUCCUGUUUAUUGUCAAAUUUGCGACAAAGAGGGUCACCUGGCUAAACAGUGUUGGAUGUUCCUUAAUCUCAAGAAAAAACAAUCUACCAACCUGGCUGAGGCUUUCGCAGCUUGCUCAAUUCCGGACUCCAACGACUCCGAAUGGUAUCCGGAUUCUAGUGCAACCUCUCACUUAACAAAUGAUCUCGAGUGUGUAGAUGUUCCUGUUGUCGACUUUGGUAAUGAACGGGUGAUGGUUGGUAAUGGUUAGUCCAUUUCCAUUUCUCACACGUGUUCCCUUUCCACUCUUGUUCCCCAAAGCUCUUUAUUUUUAUCCAAUGUUUUAGUUGUUCCUGACAUUAAGAAAAAGCUUAUUUCCAUUAGUCAACUUACAAAGGAUAAUAAUUGUUGUGUCAUUUUUUCUCCCUCUGGUUUUAUCGUACAGGAUUAGGUCACAAGAGUAGUGUUGGGGGUUGGCAGAUGUGAGAAUGGCUUGUAUGUGCUCGAUCAAAAUCAUCAUGCCCUUGCUUCCAUCGUUUCUUCAAAUAAGCCAUGUGUCUCUGUUCCCUUGUGGCAUGCUCGACUAGGCCACCCUAGUUUUUGUACCAUUAACUCUCUUUCUAAGUUUGGUUUUAUUUCUUGUAGUAAUAAAUUGAUGGGUUUAGAUUCAAGUUUAUGUGUUGGAUGUAACCUUGGUAAGAGCCAUCGUUUACCCUUUUCACUUAAUAAUAAUCGUUGUCCUUUGCCUUUUGAUCGCUUACACUGUGAUUUAUGGAGCCCUUCACCUAUUUGUUCUCUUACUAGUUUUCGUUAUUAUGCAGUGUUCAUUGAUGAUUGUACCAGAUUCAGUUGGUUUUUCCCAUUAAAACACAAUUCUAAUUUUUUUUUAUACCUUUAUCAAUUUUCAACAUUAUAUUGAGACUCAAUUUUCUUCUAAAAUUAAGUCCUUCCAAUGUGAUGGUGGAACUGAAUUUACAAAUAAUAAAUUUCGCUCUCACCUUACGUCUUGUGGUAUUGUGCUACUCAUUGCUUGCCCCUAUACACCGAGUCAAAAUGGGAUUGCUGAACGUAAACACUGACAUGUCACUAAAACGGGUCUUACCAUUAUGUUUCAUGCUUGUGUUCCAUUAUUUCUUUGGGUUGAGGCCUUCUCAACAGCUGUUUAUCUCAUCAACCGACUCCCAUCACAAACUCUUGAUGGCAAAACUCCCUACGAGCUCUUGUUCGGUAAACAACCAAACUACUCUAUGCUUCGUACUUUUGGAUGUUUAUGCUUUCCUUAUUUGAGAGAUUAUGCGCUCCUAACAAAUUGUCUCCCAAAUCAUCAUCUUGUGUCUUUUUAGGUUAUAGCCCUCUUCACAAGGGUUUUUGCUGUUUUGAUCACAAGACACAACGUCUUUAUGUCUCUCGACAUGUCCAAUUUUAUGAAACUAUAUUUCCUUAUGCGGGUGAUGAUAUGCAACAAAUUCAUAAUUCAACACCUUAUAUUACUUUCUUUGAUUCUUUCAAGUCUAACGAUAAUAUGUCUCCUGAUUUGUUGCUAUCUUCUCCUGUUUCGAAUCCUAAUUGUUUGCCAUGCAGUGAUGACCUUCAUGCUUCCUCCCAUGCAUCUCCGAUCAUAUCUACCAUUCCUUCUUCUAGUCCUCUAUCACCAUCUGUUUCCAUACCGACGACUUCUACCAACACUCACCCAAUGGUUACUAGAGGAAAAAUUGGUAUAUUUAAACCUAAGGCCUAUCAUGCGUUGACACUUUCACCUUCGUCUCAGUUUUUUCAAGUCCUUCUUGCCAUACAAGAGCCUCGAGGUUUCAAGUCUGCAGCCAAACACCCUGAAUGACUCUCGACUAUGGAUGAUGAAAUACAAGCUUUGAAGAAGAAUGAUAUUUGGGAUCUUGUACCUCGCCCUAUCAAUCAUAAUGUGGUUGGUUGUUGUUGGAUCUUUAGGACCAAGCUCCAUGCUAAUGGUUCCAUUGAGCGUCAUAAGGCUCGUCUCGUGGCCAAGGGCUUCUCUCAAAUUCAUGGCCUUGAUUUUGAAGAUAUAUUCAAUCCUAUGGUGCAGCCUGCUACUAUUCAGAUUAUUCUUUCCAUUGCAGUCAGUUCUGGAUGGCCCUUACAUCAAUUAGAUGUUAAGAAUGCCUUUCUUCAUAGUCAUUUUUCUGAAGAAGUAUACAUGGAACAACCACCUGGCUACACUGAUGCACAAUUUCCACAACAUGUGUGCCAUUUGAAACGUGCUCUCUAUGGACUCAAACAAGCCCCUCGUGCUUGGUUCCAACGAUUCAGCUUUUUUUUUAUUUAUGAAACUUGGUUUUAUUCUCAGUCAGGCUGAUUCAUCUUUCUUUGUCCAUCAUACCAUAGCAAGCACAGUUUAUCUUUUGCUCUAUGUUGACAAUAUGGUGCUUACUGGCACCAAUCCUGUUUUGAUCAAGACUCCUAUCACUCGGCUAUCCAAAGAAUAUACAAUGAAAGAUUUGGGUUCUCUACACUAUUUUCUUGGUGUUGAAGUCCAACAUAACUCUCAAGGCUUAUUUCUUAGCCAAACCAAGUAUGCUCUUGAUUUACUACAACGUGCUGACAUGAUUGAGGCCAAACCCAUUUCUACUCCUUUUGUUGUUGGUCAACAUCUCUCCACUAUAGGGAAACUAUUUUCGGAUCCCACUCUUUUUCGGUCUUUUGCAAGAGCCUUGCAAUAUUUGACCAUCACUCAGCCUGAUCUCUCUUUUAGUGUCAAUUCUAUUUGCCAGUACAUGCAUGCUCCAACUGAAGAUCAUUUUCGAACACUCAAACGCAUAUUGCGUUAUGUUAAAGGCACAGUCCAUUAUGGUCUUCAACUUCACUGCACCUCUUCUCAUGAGUUGCUUGCUUAUUCUGACGCUGAUUGGGCUGGUUGUCCUAAUACACAACGAUCUACCAGUGGUUAUCUUAUAUUCUUUGGCGCUAAUUUUGUCUCUUGGUGCUCUAAGAAACAAUCUACUGUUUCUCGCUCCAGUGCUGAAGCUGAGUAUAGAUCCUUAGCCAUUACUACUGCUGAAGUUGCUUGGAUUGUUCAGCUCCUUCGUGAUCUACGUCUUCCCUUGCCUUCCCCUUCGAAGAUAUUAUGCGACAAUAGAAGUGCUCUUUUUAUGGCGGUCAAUCCAGUCACUCGGUCUAGAUCUAAGCACAGUGCGAUUGAUUAUCAUUUUGUUCGUGAAUUGAUUGCAAAUGGUUCUUUAAAAGUCACAUUUACUCCCUCCCAUAGUCAGUUUGCCGAUUCUUUUACCAAGGGCGUCUCUAAGCCUCAGUUCCUACUUUUUCGUAACAAGCUUCAUGUUAUUCCUUCUACCACAUUCAGCUUGCAGGGGGGUGAUAGGGGCAGAAUCCUCUCUUGAUUGAUUCUUUCCUUGAUCUUAGAUUAUUUGUUAUUAUGUAUAUUUAUCUUUUCCUAGUUUGUAGGAUCUUUCAACUGUAUAUACACUCUAUAUAAUGAGAAACAAUUACCUCAAUAAUUAUUGAGGAUUUCAGCCCUAUUUUACACGGGUACUCAAACCUUUAUAAUUAGGUUCCUAUUUUGUGACUUUUUCCAUAUGUGUAUGAAAUAUACUUUUCCCUAAGACAAAAAGUACAAAUUAAACAGGGAGACGAUAGUAUAUAUCAAAGCUCCAAAGUAGUGAAGACAAAAAAUAAUUGAAAUUGGUCAUUGCUGCAUUUCCACACAAAAAAAAUAAUUACAUUCAUAAUAUAAGUAAUAGUAACCAGUAAAUUAAAGUCAAUCAUGAUGAGCAACUUGAACCAUUAUAAGUAAUUUUAAUUUCCAUAAAUAUUUGACUAGUGAGGUAUACAUAAGUAACCUCGAUUCAUAUUCAAUAGGAAAAUUAAAUAUGUAUAAGAAAUUUGCAAUGAAAAAGUUAACAAAAAAGUCUAGUUUGCAUUUAAAACUUUUAUGGAAUUUUUUAAUAAGAUAUGUAGCAUCUAUUGAGUAUCAUAUUAUAUUAACAAAAACAUAUACCACGAAUAUUAAAACAAUUGAAUUCUUCUUUAAGUACUUAAUUAUUUGACGUUAUGGUAUAUACAAUGAAUAAGGGAACCAAAAAAAUUCACUAGCAAAUAAAUAGAGUACAAUAAAUUCAUUAACAUGUCAAUUGUUUUAACAUUGUUAUAUAUCUUCGAACAAUCCUGAUGAAUCCUUAGCAACAUAAAUUCUUCAUGCACUAAUAGAUGUUACCUUGGACUUUAUUAUCAUAAAUUAUUACAAGUUAUGUAAAAAGUUUUACCCUAUAUUUAGUCAUCUCCUCCUGAAAAUUGUAAAAAUAAAAUAAAAUAAAUCUAUGUUAUUAUCAAUACAUAUUGUCUCAUAUCAUAGGAUUGUUAAUUACUUAGCAUGGAAAUAAUAUACAAUUAUAUAAUGUGUUAAUACCAAUGCUAAAGGGGUAUAAAAAGAUGCUUCUCAUACUAAUACUUUUAUAAUAAAAUUCUUUUGCAACACAAAUGCACUACACUUAUAACAUUUAUACUAAUAUUAUGAUGCAUUAUGGUAUGGCCUAAUUUAGAAAUUUAUAUACAUGUGUUUUACAAAACUGAGUGUUAUGGGUUAUCAUGCUAUAUUCCUUAACAUGCUUUAUGCCACAAGAAGUCAAAUAAAAUAUCAAUUCGAAUUCAAAAAACUUUUAAAUUUAUUAUUUUAUAAAAAUCAUUAAGUAAUUUCAAUGCAUUGAGUGGAUGAUAUUAAUAUAUUUAUUAUGUAUCAAUAUCCAACAUGGUAUAAAAGGGGUCUGCAAACACUAAUACUUUAUUAUGAAGUUUCGUUAUGAUAUAAAUACACUACACUUACAAUAUAAAUAUGUCAAUAUUACGAUAUACUACGAGAUGACCUAAUUUAGAAAUUUAUUAACUUUUUUUAACAAAACGGAGAGUUGUGGGUUAUCAUGCUAUAUUUCCUAGCAUAUCUUAUGUCAUAAAGUAACCUUAAAAACAAAAUAAAGUACCAAUUUGAAUUUCCAAGCCAAAUAAAUUCCAAAUGACAAUCUAAUUGUAAUAUAAAGGAUAUUAAAAAAAAUUAUGAAAUGAUAUUUUUUACUUAGAAUGACAAAUUUUACAGAUUUUAUUUUAUUUUUUUUAUGUAAGAAGAACAAAUUUACAAUCUUAUCUAUAUAGAUUUUGGUAGGCAAAUCUCGAUCAAACUUGUUUCCAUUACAUCAAUAUAAAAAAUUCCUCAUGAAAUUUUAGUUCACCAUGAAAUUAGCAAUUGAGCCUAACUUGUAAGACAAACAUCUUUAACACGUGCAUCUAUAACCAAUGAAAAAAAAUUAACAAUGACAUAAUUUUGAUUAUUUAUACAAACUUAUUAGAAUUUGAAGCGCAUUUGUUGUUACGCUAACUAAUGCCCUCAUCAUACAUUUCAAUAAUCAUAAUGAUACAUAAGAAUGUAACUCAUACUGAAUAAAUAGAAAAUAUGAUAAUCAAAUAGAGUUAUUAUUUGUUUAUAUGAAGCUAUAAGCCUUUGACAUAUAAAGGAUGAGAAAGUAAGAACCCAAAUCAAAACCCAACAAGCAACAUUGAAAAAAUAAAAAUCUUAGAAGUAGAAGAGAGUGUACCGAUUGAAGAAAGACGUAGACAUAGGGAAAUGGAGAUGGUGAUGGAAAAUCCAAAAAUUCAAUUUAAAAAGGACAUUCAAAACAAACCAAAACCCAAUGUCACUAUAUUUUGUUUUAGAUUCCUACUUAUUCUCUAAAAAAAAAGGGUGUAAAAUUGAACACCAAUGUCUUCCAAAGAGUUUCUUAUUUUUUACAUGUAAAAAUAGUGGAAGGAUUUUAAAUGAAACCUUACAAAUUGAAAUCACAAUAAAAGGGUUUCUCAAACAAAAAAAUGACCACAUCUAUGGAGAAAGAUAUUAGCAUACUUCAGAAGAGUUCUUUUAGGCUUUUCUAUUUCAUCGUUUACAAAAAAGAAGAAUGACUAUGAUAAUGAUGAGAGGUUUAGAAGGUUAGACCUUUGAUCUUCAUUAUGGUUUUCUUGUUUUAAGCUUCUCUCAUUCUUUUUUUUCAUAAUUCAUGUAAACAAACCAUCAGAUCACAUUUUAUUUUGUUUUUCUCAUAUUUAUAAGAAGCAAUAGAAAAAAGGUCAUUCAAAUGGUAAAAUUGUCCUCUUAUAAGUUGAGUCCUUGGUAGGAAUUGAAACAAUUAGUAACCCUUUAAGAUGGUACUUAUCACCUCCAACCCAUCAUAUUUGAUAAUUUUCCUUAUAUAAGUAUAAUAAUAUUAUUUCUAAAAUACACUUCCAUGGAUCAUGAUUUGUGGUUUUGUUCUUUUUAUUUUUAAAAUUUGAAGUGGGAAAAAUGAGAAGAAAUUUAGUUAGGAUCUGAAGAGAAAAAACUGAGAUGAAGAUGGGAAAGAAAUGAAGUGUAAUUAAGACUUUUAAAAUGCAUUUGAUAUAAGAAAAUAGGAAUAGAAAUAGGAUGAGAAUAAGACAAAUCAUAAUUUCAUGUGAAGGAGAGGAAUUAAAAUCCUAAUGAGAGUGAAAUUUGGUUUCCAUAAUAAUGAAUUUUUUUAUUGUUAUCCUCAUUAUAAAAUAUAAUCCAAAUGUAUUAAUGAAUGUGAUUUCUCGUUCUCAUUUUCUAUAUAUUCCAAUAUUUCAAACAAAUCCCAUACAUGAAAGAAACAAAGGUAGAAAAGAGGGUAAACAUUUUACAUGCAUCAAAUUGUCCUAAUUAUAUUUAUCUGUCCAUGUAUUGUCAUUCAAUCUAAACUUAAAGAAAAAGUUGUGUAUAAAUUGAAUAAGCCUUCUUAAGCUAUUUCCAUGUAUUCUCAUCCUAUCACUAAUCUCUUCAAUCUAAGCUAGCUUUAUGGAAAGGGGUGUUUGGUUAAAAAGGGCAAAACAACUUGGUAUUUAGAACAUUCCAUCCAGGUUUACUCUAAAAGUUUCGUUAUUUCCCCCACAAUUAAAUAAUGCUAAGAGUAGCAAAAGUAAGGUAUUUUUUUGCCAAAUGGGUUUACAUACCUGCAUUCGACCUUGUCGUAUGAUUUUCUUAACUUUUUUCUACUUAUCUUAGUUAGCUCAUUUUUAAUGUUGGGUUGCAAUAAUGGUGUAUAGGGAUGUCAUCACAUAAUUGAUGAAAAAGAUGCAUUGUGAUCGCAAACGUUGAGUUUUUUGAAGGAUCUUACGUCAUUUUAAAGGGAUCUGAUGUGUUUUUGAAGGGAAAUAAAAAAAAGGAUAGAAAUAUCCAAUCAAAAUCAUAUUUCAAAACAAUUUAUAAGGAAGGUUACUUUUACAAUUUCACCAUUAUUUUGAGUCAUUUAUCCAAAUAACCUGCCCUUUCCAACCUAUCCAAAAUAACCCUUUUGGUAAAGUGAUGUAUAAAUUGAGUAAGCUUCAUUAUUUCCAUGUAAUUCUCAUCCAAUCAAUAAUCUCUUCUCGGUUCACAUGUUUCACAUGUAGAAAUUAAAAACAUGGUGAAUAAGAAAACAUAGUACUUACAUCCGAUUUUCCCAAGACAAUAACGGUAGAUUACAUAUCUGCUCCAUUUCUACUAUUCCAAUAUACUCUAUAUUGUACAGUAGGACAACCCCACCAUGUUCAUUCUUAUUAUAUCAUGUACAAUGGUGUGGGAUUCUACUAUGCAUUCAAAGAAUCUGUGUUUAACUUGACUGCCAUUUUAAUGUGGAAAACAAAUUAUUUUCCAACUUAUAAAAAUCUAACAAAAAGUAUUGAAUGUUUUGAAUCAGCUUAUGUCCUAUACGUAGACUUAACAUAUGUAUACAUGGCCAAUCAUUAAUUUAAGAUGAAAAAAAUGUUCAACUACCAAUUUUUCUAAUAAUUUUAACUUGUAAGAUCUGGACUUUAAUAUCAUGUCGAAUUAUCAAUUUUUCUAAAAGCUUAAACUUAUAAGAUUUAGGUUUAAUAUGCAUUUCAUACUUCUUAACAAAAAGUUCAUCUGAUGGAAGCAGAAGAUAACAGAAAAUUAAUGAUAAUAAAUGAUGAUGUUGUGCUUAUAGUGAAAAGAUAUUAAACAAGGUAAAAAAAAAAUCAAAGAAAGAGACCAAUUCCAUUGAAAUUAAAGAGUUCAGUCAUUUUUUACUUACCAUAGUAGAUGAAGGUAUGGACAUAUUUGGCAAUUGUUUUUUAAAACAUUUUUGUAUUCUCUAAAACAAACAAAUUAAAAAAAUACAUUUGAUAACUAAAAACUGUUUUUUGUUUUUAAAAAUAGAAAAUACGAUGUUUUCAAAAAAUAUUUUUUUGUUAUUUUUUAUUAUUUUCACUUAUUUUCUAAUAAUUGUUUAAAAAAAUAAUUAUACCAAUAAGUAGAAUGAUUAAAAAUAAAACAAUAAAUAUAAAAAUUAUUUUUUAAAAAUAUUAAAAAAACAGGUUAAAAACGUUUUAGCUUUCAAAAUAGCUUUUGUUCUAUAAAACAUAAAAUAUAAAAAAAUUAUUUUUCAAAAACUGCUAUCAGAAGUUGUUUUUCAAAAUCGUUUUUUUUUUCAUAGAAUUAAUUUUAUUUUUAAUAUUUAUUGCCACUUUUUAAGGCUUAAUUUCAUGGACAUUUACAAAAAUGGCUAUUAUAAAUGAAUUAUAUACAUAUGACAGGUUAAUAAAUUUUAGUUUCUAGGAUUGUCAUAUUAUUAUUAUUAUAAAAUAUGUACAAGAUAAAACAGUGUUUCUAUUAAAUAUGUACUAAACAUUGCAAUGGUAUUAGAGAUGUCAAAUACAGUAAUUUAAAUAUUAUUCAUAUUAUUUAAUGGUAAAUAAUUAUUUGGAAUAAUAAAUCAACUAAUAAUAUUAAUAUUAGCAUUAAACAAUAAUAUAAAAAUAGAACCAAAAAAGAAAUAAGAGAAAAUUCUUAAGAAUAAUUUGAUUAAAAUUCAUAUAUCUAAGAUGAAAUGUUAAUCUUUUAUAUCUUUCAAAUUAAUUAUAUUAGAAGAAAUUAAAACAUAAUUUCUCAUUUAUUCCUCCAAUUUUUAAUGUUUCAAACGCUUUAAACUUUAUUAUUUUUAUGAUUUAAGGUGAUAAUCAAUUUCCUCACCCACACAAGGAAUUCUGAAUGUCAGUAUCACAAUCAAUUUACUAAUAUAUACAUUUUUUUUAAUUGUUUAUUGACUCUCUCUCUCUUCUGCCUCUCUCUCUCUCUCUCUGCCUCUCUGUCUCUUCUGCCUCUCUCUCUCUCUCUCUCUCUCCAAAGAUGGUGUCACAUAUCACUAUUAUAUUGCCACGUACAUGUCAUUGGGUUUACCACCAAAGAUGGUGUCACAUAUCACUAUUAUAUUGGCACAUACAUGUCAUUUGGUUCACCAAGACUUCCAUUUAAUAAACUUUUCUGACCUCAAUGCCUUGCAGUGCACAGGUACUAUUUCUAGAACAUCUUCAGAGAUCCUGCCAUCUCUCUCUCUCUCUCUCUCUGCCUCUCUGUCUCUUUCUGUCUCUCUCUGUCUCUCUGCCUCUCUGCCUCUCUCUCUCUCUCUCUCCAAAGAUGGUGUCACAUAUCACUAUUAUAUUGGCACAUACAUGUCAUUGGGUUUACCAAGACUUCCAUUUAAUAAACUUUUCUGACCUCAAUGCCUUGCAGUGCACAGGUACUAUUUCUAGAACAUCUUCAGAGAUCCCGCCACUUGCGAUUAUUGUAAGAUGCCAUUUAAGCCUAUCACAUGUCGCCAGGUUGGGGAGACCCUAUGUUUGGGGCAUCUACAAAGGUUGUGCCACAUGUCACAUGUCACUAUUUCCCUUUAUUGUGCUGCGUGGCAAACCGACAACUUCAUUUCUCAUGCGAAAAAUUAUAGGGAGAAUUGUGUUUUCAGCGAGAUAAUUAAGAUAAAGUCUUCAAUCAUUUGUCGUUAUUACAAGAACAUGAUAUGAUAAUGGAUAUAAAUACCUUUUUACUUAUUUUUGUUUUUAUUAUACCACUCAUUAUAUGCUAUUAUUAAUAAAUUCUCUUUUCUUUAAUUAUUUUUUGAUUUUUCAUUGGUUUUUUAAAUUUUUUUUAUAAAUAAUUAAAAAAUUAAUAUUAUUUUAUAUUUUUAAAUUAUAAAUAAAAAAAAAUUUAUUGAUGAUUUAAAAACUAUUUUGAAAAAUACUUUCUAAAAAAUGUUAAUUUAAAUAAAUAAAAAUUAUCUUAUAUAUUUUAGAAUUAAAUAAUUUAAUGAUUAAAACACUAUUUAAAUUAAAUAUAUUCACUAUUUAUUUUCUUUUAUACUAAAAAGUAUUUUAAAAUUUUCUUUUUCCUAUUAUAAAAUAAAAGGUUCAAUUUUCUUUUUUUUUUAAAAAAAUUCUUUUUUUCUUGUUUUAAUAACUUUUUGAACAUGACUUUUAUAGUAAUAAGUUAUAUGAAAUAUUAUAAAUUUAUUUGAUAAAGAUUUUUUUUAAUGAUUUGAAUUAAUUAAAAAUUUAUCAAAAAAAAGAAAAAGUAAAAGAGAGAAAUAGGAUGGAUGAAGAGUUUUUAUUUUAAAUAUAUAAUUAAAAUGUUUUCAACUUAAUUUUAGAAGUGAAUUAUAACUAUAUAUAGUAGAUAAUGAUUUUUUUCUUAAAUAAAAGAGUUAAAAGGUAUAUUUACUCAUUUCAGAUAAAAAAAAAAAUUAAAAUUAUAUAGAUUGUGUUUGAGUUUGGUUUAAAAAUAUUUUUCUAGUUUUUAUUUUUUAUUUAUUAUUUUUUAAAAUAAUUUUUAUUUUUUAUAUGGUCUCUUUUAGAAAAUAUGUUUAAUUAAAAAAUGAAAACUAUUUUUUAAAAAUGAAAAUUGAAAACCUUAUUUAAUACUAUUUUUUCAUAUGAAAAUAAUAAAAAGACUUAAAAGAAUUUAAUCCUAAGUCAUACACUUUAUUUAACUUCCACAUGGAAAUUUCAAUACUUUCUAUGGUAAUGAUGUUUGGAGAAAAAAAUUUGACCCUAAGUCAUCCACCAUUUUCUCAACCAAACCAUUGAAAAUAUGAUUAACACACCUACGUGAACACAUAACUUAGAGAGAUAUGAAAUUUGUGUCAUUGUACAAGGGUAUUACACUAACUGUACAAUGAAAAUGUACUAAGUGUACAAGGGUGUAUAAGGUUACCUUUUAUGAAAGAUUUCAAUCGAUUAUGAACCACUCCAUUUUACUUUCUUUGUUGCCAAUAUAUUAUACACUCAUGUUAUACACUUUAUUUAACUCUUACAUAAAAAUUUUAAUACUUUCCCUAGUAAUGAUGUUUAGGGAAAAAAAAAUUGACUCGGAGUCAUCCAAUAUUUUCUCAACUAAACAAUUAGAAAUAUGGUUAACACACCUACGUGGAUACAUAAUUUAGGAGAAAUAUGAAAUUUGUACCACUAUACAAGAGUGUUACAUUAACUGUAUAAGAGUAUUACACUAAUUGUACAAAAGAAAUAUACUAAGUGUACAAGGAUGUACAAGGCUAGCAUUUGUGAAAAUUUUCAAUCAAUUAUGAAUUACUCCUUUAUUUUCCUUGUCACCCAAGAAUUGUAUACUCAUUAUAUUAAUUGUACAAGGGAAAUAUACUAAGUGUACAAGGAUGUACAAGACUAGUAUUUGUGAAAAAGUUCAAUCGAUUAUGAAUUACUCAUUUAUUUUCCUUGUCACCCAAGAAUUGUAUACUCAUGUCAUACACUUUAUUUAAUUCCCAUAUGGAAAUUCUAAUGUUUUCCCCAAUAAUGAUGUGGGGAAAAUUUUUUAACUAUAAGUCAUCCACAAUUUUCUCAACCACAUGAUUAAAAACAUGUUUAACACACCUACAGGGACACAUAACUUAGGAGGAAAAUAAAAUUUGUACUACUAUAUAAUAUUACACUAAUUGUAUNNNNNNNNNNNNNNNNNNNNNNNNNNNNNNNNNNNNNNNNNNNNNNNNNNNNNNNNNNNNNNNNNNNNNNNNNNNNNNNNNNNNNNNNNNNNNNNNNNNNNNNNNNNNNNNNNNNNNNNNNNNNNNNNNNNNNNNNNNNNNNNNNNNNNNNNNNNNNNNNNNNNNNNNNNNNNNNNNNNNNNNNNNNNNNNNNNNNNNNNNNNNNNNNNNNNNNNNNNNNNNNNNNNNNNNNNNNNNNNNNNNNNNNNNNNNNNNNNNNNNNNNNNNNNNNNNNNNNNNNNNNNNNNNNNNUAGUUUUUUUUUUCUUUUUUGUUUUUUUACCAAACUAUGCCAUUAAGACCAAUGAGAAAUAAUAUACAACAUAUUUAUUAUUUUUUAAGUAAGAAACAAAAAAAAUAAAUUUGCUAAGGUAUUUAAAAAAUAUUUAUUAUAUAUUUUAUAAGUUUGAAAAAAAAUUUAAUGAUGUCUAAUUUGCAAGUUAUAACAAAUAAAGAAUACUAAUAUUUGAUGAGAUGUUUAAAAAUUGUUUAAUAUAUAUAAGAAAUAAUAUAAGUUUGAAAUAAAUAAUAAUAUUUAUUAUAUAUUAUGUAAGUUUGAAAAAAAUAAUAAUAUUUGAUAAGGUAUUUAAAAACUAUUUACUUCAAAAAUGCAUUUGACAAUAAUAAUUUUUAACUAUUUAUCUUUCAUGUUCAAUUUGUUGGAGAAAAAUAAUUGGUAAAUUAUUUAACUUGAUCCCACUAAUAAAUAAGUGAGAGAAUGAUGAAAAAGCCAAAGAAAGAAACAAGAAAGGUAGGAGUGAGUGGUAGCUUUUUGAUUUGAUAGUUAAGGGUAUUUUAGUAAUUUUUAAAGGCAAUAUCAUUCCUUUCAAUUUCUACUUUUUCUUUGGGUUUUGAAUUUAAUUAUGGGUGAUAGUAGGACCUUACCUCAAUUAUCUAACCUAGUUGGGGUGGAAACACAAUUCUCCCAAAAUUAUAUAUCCUUUAUUUCCCUUCAUUUAUAAUUAACAAAUUAACCUCAUUUCCUUUCCCACCAUCUUCAUCUUCAACAUAUUCUCGCCUUCUCCUUCCCUUUUGGUUCACGUUAUUUUUUCCCAUGUCUUCUUCAAACUCACUCAAAAUUGAAGGAACAAAAAAUCCCAAUUAACGAAAAAUGUAAGAAAAAUUUGAACAAUAUUUUUUCCUAAUUACAUUUUUUAGGGAACCAAACAAUGAAAUAACACGAGAAUAUAAUCUAGAAAAUUACUUGAUAAAAAAUGUAAUUGUGUUGUAAAAAUAAAAAUAAAAAUCAUAACAAAGAAUAAAAAUAAAGAGAGAAAAAAAAGGAAUGAAAACAAUAAAAUACAUCAAACAUACAACAAUUCACAUGAUUUGGUUUGAAGUUAAUUCAUAUGAUGAAGAACUUCUAGUAACACUUUCCAUCACUUCCAUCUCACAUCUCCUUGAGCUACGUCCAGCUUUCUUUUAGUAAGAAAAAUACAACACCACAUUAAUUCUAUGCUUCCAAACUAGUUGACUUAGUCACGUAUGGCUACCACUCUCAUUGCAAAAAGUUUGAUAUUAAGUUGCAGGUCUUCCAUGGUUCCAUUUUGGAGCACUUGCAAAAACAAAAGCAAAUCAACAACAGACAAAUUAAGACUAUAAAUUCUCUAAAUCUUCACUAAAAUUAACCACUUGGACUUGAAACAUGAUUCAUUUUUUCCUCCAUAACUUGAUUAGUUUGUCUAAUUCGGCAAGAGAAGACCCUGAUAGAAUAAAUGUGGACCGACAAUAUAUUAAACAUUGUCCAGGAUUAAGCUAUCUUUUAACAUGCAAUUUCUGAUUUAAUCUUCAGUAUGGACCACCUAAUGUGUAGAGCCCAAUGCCAUCACGGGCUUUAGAUGAUGGGCCUAAGGCCCGUGAGGCCCAAUAACCAAUGGGUAUGGUCCCUAAGGCAGGAGGGUAUAAAAGGCUUAGGCUUGUGUCUUUUGGGAAAAUCACAUCCUUUUGAAAGAACAGAACCGCUCUCUCUCCCGCUCCCAUUGCCUGAGAGAAUACAGUGAAAGAGGUGGUGCCCUCCGUUACUCUUAGAAGAUCCAUACCGUCUUCAUCAAACACACAAAUGGAAUCAGGUAGGUACCAUUUUCCUUAGAGAUUUAUGGUAUAACAUUCAUGUGAUUCAACAUGUGAUCCUGUAUGAUCAUUAUUUAGAAUAUGGAAUCUUACAAAUUGGUAUCAGAGCCUAAUGUUGAAUCACUUAGAAAUGGUAUAUUAGGGCAAUAAAAAUUGUACUGCCUUUGUUUUUCCUUUUGAUUGGAUUCAGCGCCAUUGGAAGUGCGUUUCACGCACAUUUGGAGGCACCACAGAAGGCGCCAGUGUAGGCGCCACUCAGAUGCCAUAAAGGCGCUGUUAUGCAGCGCCCUUCAGGGUGUCUCUCCGACGGCGUUAAGGCGCCAGUCAAGGCGCUUCAGGCGGCGCGUUUCAGGCGCGCUGCAGCUGAUUACUACUCAAAAAGUGCAAUUUCAUAGCUUGUAAUUAAUCCUUUUAAACACUUUUGAGUAGUAGUUAUUGCCUUUUAACUCAAUUAACAUGUUAAGGACCCUUACAAUCAUUUCUAAUCAAAUUGUGUAAGUUUUGGUGUUUUUGUUAGUAAUUUGAUCACCAAAACAAUCCAAGAUUGAGGAGAGUUAUUUGGAAUCCAUGGCAAAGCAAUGAAGAGCUCAAAUUCAUGAAGAACCAAGCUUUGGAGCCUCAUAGCCCUUUGCCAAAGUCGUUCAAAGUAUGCAAGGAAAGAGUACUGGAGAGAGGAAAAACAAAGUGAAGAAAACAGAUGAAAGCCAGCUACAGUCUUCAUGUGCACUUUUGGAGCACUUCCCGAAGUCCAUUUUCUACAUUCUAUAUACCAUUUCAAAGCUCAGGAAGUCAAGAAUCCAAUGCUUCAAACUGUGCACGAUUCGGAGUUGAAACGAAGGAGUUACAGCCAUUGCAAGAAGAUCACUCCAAAGUGUUGCGAAAUCAGCCUUUUGUUGCGAGAAUUUCGCAGCCUUUUUGUACAGUGCUAUGGAAUUCCUCCUGAAGCUACCCGAUACAUGCCGCAAGCUGGAAGUUGAGAACCUCAAGGUGGAAGCCAACUUCGCAGCCCUACGAGGAUAGCUUGUUGCUGCGAAGUGAUUUCGCAGCCCUCUUGAGUGUCUGCGAAAUCUCGCAGACACCAUUUUCUCCUGCGAAAUGGUUCCUGAAGCUUCCCGAUACUUUUGCACCGACUCUUUCAGAUCUUUUCUUCAGAUAUUUUUGGUAUAAUUUCCAUUUUCUCCUUGUAUUCAACCACUCAUGUAAUUCCUUAACUAGGAAGUGUCCAAGGAAGGGUAAAUUACCUUCCUAUAUAAACUCUCUUGCAUCCACUGUAAAAAGACGCUCGGAGAAGUAUGUAAUAUAGAUAUAUCAUAUAUAGAAUCAGAGAACAGAGCACUUGCUCUGUUUUUCAUAUAUAUUCUUGUCUUCUCUUUCAUUUUCAUUUUCUAGCCAACCAAACUCUGAGGAUUUUUCCACCGGGGAUGAGAGGCUAAGCUUUUUGUCUCUUGGAGUGAGGAAAGCCGGGUAAGUUUCCACAUGCAUAAAUUGGAAGUUUUGUUGUUUUAGUUUUUAAUGAAGAGAAAGUGUGACCCGUUAAUGGUUUUUAUCUUUUUAGUUAACUUAAAACGCCUUUAAAUCACCUGGGCCAACACUUGGUAAGGCAAGUGAUUUCCAACCAUGGAAAUGCACUAGUUUACCCCUUGCGAGCCUUUGGGAGGUGACUUGAAGGUAGGAUUUUCUGGAAUUGCCAACACUUGGUAAGCUUUUGGACUCCAAGGAGACAUCCAUUAGUUAUCUCUUGCGAGCUUGAGAAGGGAAGUCCAAGGUUAAAGAUCAUCUUGAAUGGUAAGUGCUCGUGAGAGGCAUGAACCAUUGCAAGUUGCAUCAGUGAGAGGGAUUUAGUGUUUGAACCCAUUAAUGGGAAGCAUCUGUAUAACACCGGUUGGAGAAGGAACUAUAUGUUAAUUCUCUAAUGCGAGGAAAAGAAACAAGUGACCGGAACUCUCCUUUUUGUAUGAGGAACCUGAGCCUAGUGAUCUAAACUCCAAGAAACACUUUUCUUUGUAAGUAAAAUCAGUUACUAUUUUUGGUUAGUUUAAAACCAAACUUUUUUUUUCAUUCAAACAAAUUUAUGUUUUCUUUUAAAGCUAACCUUGAAAUGAAAAGGCACCAAUUCAACUUUGAAUUAACAUCAUUUGUGAAGUGAAAACCCAUCCCAGUGAACGAUCCUAGAGCCACUAUGCUAUAGUAGCUUUGUCUUUGCUACCCUAGUAUAUGGUGUAAUAGGUUAUAAAUUUUGUUGAUUAGUCCCUCAAUCAAGGAGCACCAGCUGGACACGAAUCAGCUGAGACACCAAUUGGGCACGAAUCAAAUGGCGCCGUUGCCGGGGAUCGAACCUCGAAUCAAAUGGUGCCAUUGCCACUGCCGCUGCUAGGGACGAAUCAGCAGCCGCGGCUUCCGACGCCGUUCCAGAGGGGCGCUUCAGGCUCACUGGUGGCGCACGCUUCUGGCGCUUCAGGCCGCGCCGUUGAGGCACGGCUCAGACGUGCAGUUCUAGCGCGCCUUCAAGCGCUGUAUUCGGCGAAGGGCGCCACUGCAGCGCCGUUGAGGCGCAGUUCAGGCACGGUUCGGGCGCCACUCCAACGCCAUGAAGGCGCCGUCUCCGGCGCGGUUAAGGGUGCUGCUGAGGGCACCAUUAAGUGCGACGCUGGUGCGUCGCGUGUGUGUGCGGUUCAGGAGAGCCUGGUGCGCGGCUGAGGGGCAUCAGCGCCAUUGGAGGCACUUCGGGCGGCGCGCUGGUGGUGUGCGCUGCAGGCGGGGCCUGUGCGCGUUGCAGGCGCGACCUCCGACGCCGUUCCGGGGGGGUGCUUCCGACGCCGUUCCUGUUUAAGGGGCGCACUUUAGGCGUCGUGCUAUUGCAGGCUGCCAACGCCAUGAAUGGCGUUUAUGAUAAAAAAAAAAAAAGAAAAAAAAAAGAAAAAAAGAAAAAUGGAGGAAAGGCCACCUAGAGAGCUUGAACCCAUGACUUGGUUGUUCCAAGGCCACGACUGAACCACUACACUAAGUUUCUAUUUUAUGCAUUAAUUGGUAUAUAUAUAUAUAUAUAUAUAUAUAUAUAUAUAUAUAUUCUUGUAUUUAUGCUUUAAUUGAUAUAUAUAUACAUGCUGUUAUGUUUCAAUUGGUAUGGAUAUAUACAUAAGUUUAUGCAUAAAUAAAUAGAUGAAUAAUUUUAAUUAAAUUAUUUCUUACUAUAUUUGUGUUUUAUAUUUUAAAAUAAAUGAAUUAUGUAUAUCGGUUGCCAAAGUAACUUAUAUUAUAUAAUUUAUUUAUUUUACAAUAUCUAAAUAUGUUAUUAUUAUUAUUUAAAAUAAUCGGCCCAAAGGAAGAUUAUUUUAAUAUAAUAAUAGAUAAAGUAGUCAUAAAUAUGUGACAUAUAAUGUUUAUCUUGCAUUCGAUAUGUUAGUCCAAAGACAGACAUAUUGUUUUCGAUUUUAUUGUUAAUAUUUAUGAAUUAAUUUUGUAUAAGGAUACCAAUUACAAGUUAAUAUUUUUGUCCAAAGACUGAAUAUUAAUGUUUGUGCUAGGUAUCUUGCAUGAUGUUUAUUUAUUCAUGUAUGUAUGAUGCUUAUUUGACUGAUUGUGAGCUUUAUUAUUAUGAAUUUAACAUCUUCUAUAUCUGCAAAUGUGAAUAACAUUCCUGUGCUUAAUGGCACAAACUUCAAGAAAUGGAAAGAGCACGUUAUAAUUGUGCUCGGGUGCAUGGAUUUAGACUUUGCAUUAAGGGAGGAUCGCCCUUCAUAUCUUACUAGUGCUAGCACUGCUAAGCAAAGGUCUACUAUGGAAAAAUGGGAGCGAUCCAAUCGCAUGAGUCUAAUGAUUAUGAAGCACUCAAUUCCAGAAGCAAUAAGGGGUGCAAUACCUGAGGAAACCCAAGCCAAGGCAUUCUUAGACCAGAUAGCAAACCGAUUUGCUGCAAACGAAAAGGUUGAGACAAACACUAUUUUUAGUAAGCUUGUCUCUAUGCAGUAUAAAGGGAAAGAGAAUAUCAGGGAGUACAUUAUGGAAAUGUCUAAUCUUGUGACGAGACUCAAGGCAUUAAAGUUAGAGUUGUCGGAAGACAUACUCGUGCACUUGGUCUUGAUCUCUCUGCCUACACAAUUCAGUCCAUUCAAAAUUAGUUACAAUACACAAAAGGAAAAAUGGACUUUGAAUGAGCUUAUUGCUCAAUGUGUGCAAGAGGAAGAGAGAUUGAAGCAAGAAAAGAUAGAAAGUGCUCAAUUGGCUUCCACAUCUCAGGGUUUUGUACCAAUAAGAAAAGAAAGAGGGACAAUAAAGGAAAAAAAACUGCAGUUUCUGGGACAUCAAAGCAAAAGGAGCAAAAGAAACAAGAUAAGGAGAUCACUUGUUUCUUUUGCAAGAAGGCUGGUCAUAUGAAGAAGACAUGUACCAAGUACGCUGCUUGGCGUGAAAAGAAAGGUACACUUCUCAACUUUGUUUGUUCAGAAAUUAAUUUAGCUGUAGUGCCUACUGACACUUGGUGGAUAGAUACGGGUGCAACUACUCACAUAAGUGUCACUAUGCAGGGUUGCCUAAGGAGCCGAAUGCCAACUGAUGGUGAAAGAUACAUCUAUGUGGGAAAUGGCAACAAGGCUGCAGUCAAGGCUAUUGGUCUUUUCAGAUUACAGUUAGACUCUGGAUGUACAUUGGAUUUGGAAGAGACUUUUGUAGUACCGUCAUUUAGACGGAAUUUAAUUUCUGUUUCAUGUUUGGACAAAUUUGGAUAUUGUUGUUCAUUUGGAAAUGGAAUGGUUAGUCUUUAUCUAAAUUCAAAUAUUAUUGGUACAGGUAGUCUAACAGACAAACUAUAUAAAUUAAACAUAAAGACCACUAAUAGAAAUGAAACCUUGCAUUCAAGUAAUUAUGGCAUUAAGCGAAAAUUAAUGAAUGAGAAUUCAUCAAUGUUAUGGCACAAGCGUUUGGGUCAUAUUUCAAAUCAACGAAUACAAAGACUUGUGUCAGAUGGAAUUCUCGAUCCACUUGAUUUCUCAGACUUUCAAGUCUGUAUAGAGUGCAUUAAAGGAAAACAAACAAAUAUGAAGAAAAAGAAUGCCAAUAGGUGCAGUGACGUCUUGGAAUUGAUACAUACAGACAUUUGUGGUCCAUUUCCUACCCUUUCAUGGAAUGGACAACAAUAUUUUAUCACUUUCAUUGACGAUUACUUGUGUUAUGGCUAUCUUUAUUUGAUUCAUGAAAAAUCUCAGUCAUUGGAUGUGUUCAAAAAUUUCAAAGCUGAAGUUGAGAACCAACUAAGCAA